CCAUCUACUAAAAGCCAUAUCACAUUCGCUGACACUGGUAAAAGCAAGGUAUUGGGCCUAGGUAGAGUUGCUAUCCCAAAGGAUCAACACAUGGAUAAAGUGAUGCUUGUUGAAUCCCUUGGUUACAACUUAAUGUCUAUCUCAAUACUUUGUGAUCUGAACAUGAUUGUGAUAUUUGCAAAAUAUCAUUGUCUUGUGCUAAUGUGGCUUGAACUACGUCGAUAUUUCCCCAAAGAGGAAGGGAUGAUGCAGCACAACUACGGUAGGUAUUUCCCUUAGUGAUGAGACUAAGGUUAUCGAACCAGUAGGAGAACCACGGAACACUACAUGAACGACACCUGCACAAAAAUAAAAAAUACUCGCAACACGACGUAUUAAAGGGGUAGUCAAUCCCUUUCGGGUAACGGCGCCAGAAUUUGGCAAGUACACGGGAUAAAAAUUGUGAUAGAUUGAUAAAUGAAAAUAAAAGAAAAUAAAAUCCAGUGAGAUAUUUUUGGGUUUUUGGAUUAAUAUAUCUAAAAAUAAAAGCAAAUAAAAAUAGAUCGCGAAGGCAAAUAUAAUAAAGAAGAGACCCGAGGGCCAUAGGUUUCACUAGUGGCUUCUCUCAAGAAAAAUAGCAAACGGUGGGUAAACAAAUUACUGUUGGGCAAUUGAUAGAACUUCAAAUGAUCAUGAUGAUAUCCAAGUAAUGAUCAUUAUAUUGGCAUCACGUCCAAGAUUAGUAGACCGACUCCUGCCUGCAUCUAGUACUAUUACUCCACACAUCGACCGCUAUCCAGCAUGCACCUAAUGUAUUAAGCUCAUGGAGAAAUAGAGUAAUGCAAUAAGAACGAUGACAUGAUGUAGACAAGAUCUAUUUAUGUAGAAAUAGACCCCAUCUUGUUAUCCUUAAUAGCAAUGAUACAUACGUGUCAGUUCCCCUUUCUGUCACUGGGAUCAAGCACCGUAAGAUUGAACCCAUCAGAAAGCACCUCUUCCCAUUGCAAGAUAUAUAGAUCAAGUUGGCCAAACAAAACCCAAAUAUCGGAGAAGAAAUACGAGGUUAUAAGAAAUCAUGCAUAUAAGAGAUCAAAAGACUCAAAUAACUUUCCUGGAUAAAAACAUAGAUCUGAUCAUAAACUCAAAGUUCAUCGGAUCCCAACAAACACACCGCGAAAAGAGUUACAUCAUAUGGAUCUCCAAGAGACCAUUGUAUUGAGAAUCAAACGAGAGAGAGGAAGCCAUCUAGCUAGCUACUAACUACAAACCCGAAGGUCUACAAAAGACUACUCACGCAUCAUCGGAGAGGCACCAAUGAGGAUGAUGAACCCCUCCGUGAUGGUGUCUAGAUUGGAUCUGGUGUUUCUGGAACUUGCGGCGGCUGGAAUUGAUUUUCGUUGAGGCAUAUUGGGGUAUUCAUAGAGCAAAGAGAUGGUGCAGGAGGCCACCAAGGUGGGCACAGCCUACCUGGGCACGCCUGGGGGCCCAGGCAUGCCCUGGUGGUUUGUGGCCCCCUCGGGACACCCCCAGGUGCUUCUCCGGCCCAUUGGGUGUCUUUUGGUCCAUAAAAAAUCCACAAAAUGUUUCGCUGCAUUUGGACUCCGCUUGGUAUUGAUUUCAUGCGAUGUAAAAAAUAAGCAAAAAACAGCAACUGACACUUGGCACUAUGUCAAUAGGUUAGUACCAAAAAAUGAUAUAAAAUGAUUAUAGAACAUCCAAGAAUGAUAAUAUAACAACAUGGAACAAUAAAAAAUUAUAGAUACAUUGGAGACGUAUCAGCAUCCCCAAGCUUAAUUCCUGCUCGUCCUCGAGUAGGUAAAUGAUAAAAACAGAAUUUUUGAUGUGGAAUGCUGCCUAACAUGUUCAUCACAUAUUCUUUCUUUUAUAGCAUGGACAUUUGGACUUCUAUAUGGUUCAAAGCAAUAUUCUAGUUUUGACAUGAAGACUUCAAUACUCAAGCAUAUCAACAAGUAGCCAUGUCUUUCAAAAUAUCAACGCGAAAGCAAGUUAUCCCUAGCCCAUUAUGCUCAAUCAUUGAUCCAUUCAUGAAACACACUCACAUAUUAGCUACACCCAAUGCUCAAGUACGAUAAUAGUGCCCCUUAAUGGGUGCUUUAAAAGAGAAUAUGGAGACUCAAAGAAAAAUAAAAAUUGCAUAAAGUAAAUAGAAAGGCCCUUCGUAGAGGGAAGUAGGGAUUUGUAGAGGUGCUAGAGCUCAAAGUGAAAAAGAUAGAUAUAAAAACAUUUUGGGAGGCAUGCUUUUCCUGUCAACGAGAACGAUUGAGUAGUUCCCAAUACUUUCCAUGCCAGAUAUAUCAUAGGCGGUUCCCAAACAGAAAAUAAAGUUUAUUCCUUUUUCCACCAUACUUUCACUUUCCAUGGCUAAGCGUAUCCACGUGUGCCUUCCAUACCAACACUUUCCAAGGAAUUUAUUAUUUGACAACAUAAUGUAAAUUCAUUUUCAUUUCGGGGCUAGGCAUCCCUAAUACCUUUGUUGUACUCUUGUGCAAUGAAAAGUGAAUAAACACUCAUCAUGAGAAUAACACAUAUAGCAUGGAAAUAUAUCAGCCAACCCCUACCGUUUCAUGAGCGGUACGAGCACACAAAAGAGAAGCUUAUUUUGAACAUUAGAGAUGGCACAUACAAAUUUGCUAAGAGCGGCAAAAGAAUACCACAUAUAAGUAGGUAUAGUGGACUUGUAUGGCAAAACUAGUUUAAAGGAUUUUGGAUGCACAAGUAGUGAUUAUACUUAGUGCAAAAUGAAGGCUAGCAAAAGAUUGAGAAGCGACCAACCAAGAAACGAAAAAUCUCUUAAGCGAGCAUUAAGCAUAACUAACACUGAAUAAUGCACCACAAGUAGGAUGUAAUUUCAUUGCAUAACUAUUGACUUUCGUGCUUGCAUAGGGAAUCACAAACCUUAACACCAAUAUUCUUACUAAAGCAAUAAUUACUCAUUAACAUGACUCGCAUAUUAUAUCAACAUAUCUCAGCUAUUACAAGGAAUAAAGUUUAUUUUGUCCAAUGAUCUUCAGGAAAGUUUUUAUUAUAUCCACUUGGAUAUCUAUCACUUUGGGACUAGUUUCAUAUGUUGCUUUUGAUAGCUCAAACAAAUCUUAGUGAAGAACAUGAGCAUAAAAAUUUUCUUCUCUCAAAUUAAUUUAAGUGAAGCAAGAGAGAAUUUAUUAAAAAAAUUACUAACUCUCAAAUAAAUCUAAGUGAAGCAUGAGAGCAUUUCUUCAAAAAUACUAAAGCACACCAUCCUCCAAAAGAUAUAAGUGAAGUACUAGAGCAAUUCCAUAGCUCAUAAAAAUUUAAGUGAAGCUUAGAGAGCAAUUCUAACAAGUCAUGGCAUAAUUUUGGCUCUCUCAAAUAGGUGUGUCCAGCAAGGAUUCAUGACUAAGAACACAAAGCAAAACAAGCAAAGACUCAUAUCAUACAAGACACUCCAGGCAAUAUGUGAUGAAUAAAAAUAUAGUUUCAAGUAAAAUACUGAUGGUUGUUAGAAGAAAGAGGGGAUGCCACUCGGGGGCAUCCCCAAGCUUAGUUGCUUGAUACUUCUUGAAUAUUAUAUUGGGGUACCAUGGGCAUCCCCAAGCUUAGCAUUUUGCUAAUCCUUAUUCGUUCAUCCAUCGUAAAGUCACCCAAAACUUGAAAACUUUAAUCACACAAAACUUAACAAAACCUUCAUGAGAUCCGUUAGUAUAAGAAAGCAAAUCACUACUAUAAGUACUGUUGCAAACCCAUUCAUAUUUUAUUUUUGCAUUAUAUCUACUAUAUUCCAACUUUUCUAUGGCAAAAACUCUUCAAAGAAAACCAUAGAAUCAUCAAAACAAGCACCCAACGCAAAGAAAACCGAAUCUAUCAAAAACAGAGCAAUAUGUAGCAAUCUGGAGAUUUUGAAUACUUCUGUAACUCCAAAAAUUCGAAAAUUAGGACAACAUGAGCAAUUUGUAUAUAAAAUCUCCUGCAAAAACAAUAAGUAUUUUAUCUUGCUUCUGUUAAAACUUAAAUUAUUUUCGUGAGCGCAAAAGUUUCUGUUUUUCAGCAAGAUCAAAUGAACUAUCACCCAACAUGAUCCCAAAGGAUUUACUUGGCACAAACACUAAUUAAAACACAAAAACACAAUCAUAACAGUAACAUAAUUUUUCAAACACUCAAGAACACUAAGGAAAAGACAAAAUUAAUUUUUGUUCAUUGGGUUGCCACCCAACAAGCUCUAUUGUUUUAUGCCCCUAGCUAGGCAUAAUGCAAAGGAUCUAAGUAUUGACAUCUUUGUUUCUAGAUCCAUAUGAUGCCCUCAUGAUUGAUUCAUAUGGUGGAUUAAUUCUAGUUCUAGGGAAGUGUUCCAUACCCUUCCUUAGUGGAAAUUGAAAUUUAACACUGCCUCUUUCGUAUCAAUCACGGCACAUGUCGUGGAAUUGUCACGGCAGAUGUCCUAGUGUGAGGACUUAGUCGUGAGGCCAGCACAUCUUUGUGGUAGCUUGAGAGGGGUUGAUCGGGAUGAGAGACGCAGGGCGGAUCAACGCACAAGACAAGGGUUUAGACAGCUUCGGCCCCCGAGAAACAUCAUCCGGGAAUAGCCCUACAUGUUGUUUGUGGCUAGGUCUCAUUAUGCUCAUGAGGGAGUCGCCGCAUAAGUUGGCUCUGCUAGUUGUGUCUAGCCCUAGAAAUUAUUUUGUCCCUCUUUGGGUGCCUUGCCCCUCCUUAUAUAUGUUGAAGGGGCGGGUUACAUGACUAGUCCUAAUAGGAUUAGGAUUACUCUAUUACAAGUGGAGUCCUAGUCUUGCUUCUUUUGUAGGAUAAUAUUCCUUAUGCCUUUCCUCUUAAACCGGACCAUCAUAACGUGAGUCGGCCUUCUAGGCCUUAGGCCUUAUUUUCCAUCUGACCCGCCCGCCGAGUUACAAAUGAGUCGCCAAGAUCGGGCGGGUUACCUGUGAAUCGCCAAGCCUCCAGCCGGGUCAUACAUCUGGCGGGUUACACCGCGGGGUAUAUCCCCGAUAUUAACCCCCAGUUUAAUUUGGAUUUAUCCAUGUUAAACUAAUCUGCAAUAUAACACAAGAACAAAUUUGACAGGUUGUUCUUCGGGUUAAAUUUUCUUGUAAGCCGACACCUGAUCAUCCUUAAGUCCUUAUCAUUUUCUUCUUCUAGAAAAUCCUGGUCAGUAAGCCAGCUUCGUAAUCAAUUUGCUUGUAGAAGAAAUAUUGUAAAUGAAUAAAUAAUCCAUUUGAUUCGGCCUAUAAUGCUCUGACUUGACAAAAAUAUUGGUUCUGAAAUAUUCAACCGAUAUUCAACCGGUUUGUAGAACUUGCUGAGUUAUGCUUUCCAAAAUUACCGGGUUAUAAAAACUGAUGACUCCGGGUCAUGACUGUUAUAGACACCAGGUCAUGAUUGUUGCCAACGCCGGGUCAAAACUGAGAAUUUUGACGAUUUCUCUCCCUCAUAUCCAUAUUACCGGUAGCCCCCAAGUCUUGAGCAGAACAAAGUGAUGACUUAAGACUUGCUUUAAUAUAAAUAUUACCACUUUGAAGAAAAUCCAUGUUGUUCAUCUCAGUCACUAGUAAAAACUGAAUACUCCAUAUAUGUAGCCCCCAAGUGUCGGGUUUUCAUGCUUGCAACAACCUGGGACUUGUAAUUGCCUUAUGCUCACAAAAACUUCAACCGGUGUAGCCCCCAAGGGCCGGGUCAUUAUGCAAUAAUGAGCAGGGACUUUAUAAAUACGUGUAGCCCCCAAGGGCCGUCUCAGUAAGAUAAUAUUGAGCUGGGACUUUAUAUAUACUUGAUUGAAAAUAACUUCAUAUGACGUAACCCCCACCACGGGGCUCGAACGCACGUCCAUAAGGUUAAGAGCCUUCUACUCUUCCAACUAAGAAAUAAACCUUUCAAUAUAAUAGAUUAAAGCUUGUGUACCUUAAAUUUCUGACAUGAGCAAUCGGUAGCCCCCAAGGGCCGGCUCAUUAUGAUGUGAUGAGUCGGGUCUUCAAUAAGGCCAGUAAAAAUGACUUUGCAUUAGCCCCCAAGUGUCAUGGUGCAUCCUUGCAGCGACAUGAGACUUGCAUAUUUGAUGUAAUCUCAACUUGAAUAAUGUAGCCCCCAAGUGCAGGGUCGUAAGCCUGCAGCGACUUGGGACUAUUCCUUUCAUUGUAGAAUAAAUCAUAUCCAUUGAUAAAUAAUAGCCAUUGCGCUGAAGCGACUUUGAAAACCUUAAUCAUAAUACUGGUUAUUGAUAACCACAAUAAAAAUGCAGCCAUGUUGGCUAUUAAACAUUUGAAUAAUAUAACCCGAUGAUUUAUAAGCGCAUGAUUCCAAUGGCGCAAUCCAAAUAGAUACUAGCGACUUAUAGUCCAAAGCCAGGUCGGGUUAAUAAACACCGGUGAAUUAUCUUAUCUCAUACUGGUGACUUAUAGUCAAAAGCCAGGCCGGGUUAAAUUGAAACCAUACUUAUACUUAGAUCUUAGAUGAAAAGCCACAGAAUAAAAAACAAAGAUUGUUUUCCAAAAAUGUAAGCCAAAUAAAAAGAAAAAUUUGGAGGCUUCUCAUUCGGAUACGAUCAGUAAACCGGACCAAAGGGGUUAAGCUAAGAUUCGAAUACGAUCAUGUAGCCCCCAGUGGCUUUGGCGUUGCGCCGAUCAAGAGGGUACCGACAGCUAUGUUCUCUUUGGUUCAAAUACGACCUAUGUUUGAACAGGAAGCCCCCAAAUGAUCAUAUGGUUUAAUGGCUAGAUUCGAAUACGAUCAUGAGCCGAACCAAAGGGUUAAGCUAGAUUUGAACACAACCAGCCCCCAAUUGGUCAUUUUGAAAUUAUAAUGAUGAAGACAUAUGAUUAUUGAGGAUGAAAAGGACAGAGGUCCUGCUUUAUUACUUAUCAUAAUAUAUACAACAUCAAAAAUACGUACAUCAUGAGAGCCGGUGGCUCAAGUAUAGUAAGGCUGAAGAUGAGCGAUAUUCCACGGUCGGCGGGUCUCUUCCUCCGACUUACGUGAGUCUUUGUGCUCUCGAAUAUCGAUAAGCUAGUAUGACCCGUUGUUCAAGUUCCUACUAUCCCCAAAAGGUCCUUCCAAGGGUGGGGAUAACUUGUGUGCAUCAGUUUGAUCCUGGAUGAGACGGAGCACCAAGUCACCUUCUUGAAAGGUUCUGGACUUAACUCGGCGGCUGUGAUAACGGCAUAGGUCCUGUUGGUAAAUCAUCGAGCGGGCUGCUGCUAAGUCACACUUUUCAUCUAAUAGGUCAAGUGCAUCCUAACGGGCUUGUUCGCUAUCAGUCUCAAUGUAAGCCGCCACGCGGGGCAAGUCAUGACGGAUGCCACUAGGUAGGACUGCCUCUGCUCCGUAAACCAUGAAGAAAGGCUUUAUAACCCGUAGACCUGUUGGGGGUAGUAUUGAUACUCAUCACAAAGGGUAACUCCUCCACCCAACAACCCGGUGUCCGUUGUAAAGGAACCAUAAGUCGGGGUUUGAGACCUUUUAAGAUUUCCUGAUUGUCUCUUUCAGCUUGACCAUUGGAUUGGGGUUGAGCUACUGAUGAAACAUCAAGCCGGAUAUGCUCACGUUGGCAAAAUUCCUCCAUAGCACCCUUGGAGAGAUUAGUACCAUUAUCAGUUAUAAUGUUGUGUGGAAAACCGAAACACAAAUCACCUUUUUCAUGAAUUGAACAGUCGUGGCGGCAUCACACUUACUAACCGGCUCUGCCUCAACCCACUUUGUGAAUUUGUCAACUGCCACCAGAAGGUGUGUCUUUUUAUCUUUGGAUCUUUUGAAAUGUCCAACCAUGUCGAGCCCCCAGACCGCAAAUGGCGAAGCAAUUGGAAUCAUCCGCAAUUCUUGAGCCGGCACGUGUGCCUGUCGUGAGAAUUUCUGACAACCAUCACACCUACUGACCAGAUCCUCCGCAUCAGCGUGAGCCAUCAGGCAGUAAAAACCAUGACGGAAGGCUUUGGCUACAAGGGACUUUGAACCGGCAUGAUGGCCACAAUCUCCUUCAUGGAUUUCACAAAGAAUUUCUUGACCUUCCUCAGGAGAAACACAACGUUGAAACACCCCUGAGACACUGCGAUGAUGCAACUUACCCGGCUCAAGCUCAUCUCCUUAGCCAUCCGAAGACCAUGGGGCAAGGCCUCAUACUCAGCUGCAUUGUUAGUACAGGGAAACAUUAGCCGUAGCACAUAAUAAAAUUUGUCACCUCAAGGGGAAGCUAAAACAACUCCAGCCCCGAGCCCUCUAAUUGCAUGGACCCAUCAAAAUGAAUAUUCCAAUAUGUGUUGUCCGGCUUCUCUUCAGGCAUCUGCAGCUCUGUCCAAUCGUUGAUGAAGUCCACCAGUGCUUGAGACUUGAUAGCAGUGUGUGGCACAUACUUUAGGCCAUGGGGCCCAAGUUCAAUGGCCCACUUGGCAACUCGUCCUGUGGCUUCUCUAUUUUGAAUGAUAUCUCCUAAAGGAGCAUAACUAACCACAAUGAUGGGAUGGCCCUGAAAAUAUUGCUUAAGCUUCCAGCUCGCCAUGAACACCCUAUAAACAAGUUUCUGCCAAUGUGGAUAUCUCUUUUUGGACUCAAUAAGCACCUCACUGAUAUAGUAAACCGGUCGUUGAACCGGUUAUUCCUUGCCGGCCUCCUUGUGCUCUACUACCAUGGCCACACUGACAGCACGUGUGUUAGCAGCCACAUACAACAAUAAUGGCUCCUUAUCAACAGGAGCAGCAAGGACCGGCGGCUCAGCGAGUUGUCUCUUAAGAUCUUCAAAGGCGGCGUUAGCAGCAUCACUCCAGACAAAAUCGUCUAUCUUCUUCAUCAUUUGAUACAGCGGUAUGGCCUUCUCACCUAACUGGCUUAUGAACCGGCUUAAAGCAGCAAUACGACCUGCCAAACGCUGAACAUCAUUGAUGCACGCCGGCUUAGCCAAAGAUGUGAUUGCUUUGAUCUUCUCCGGGUUAGCCUCGAUGCCUCUAUUAGAAACGAGAAAACCCAAAAGCUUGCCCGCUGGUACUCCGAAAACACACUUGGCCGGGUUAAGCGUCAUCUUGUAGACCCGGAGGUUAUCAAAGGUUUACAUUGGAUCAUAUAUCAAGGUCUUCUUCUCUCUGGACUUCACCAGAAUAUCAUCCACAUAAGCAUGAACAUUGUGCCCAAUCUGAUUGUGAAGACAGUUCUGCACACAUCGCUGAUAAGUCGCCUGGGCACUCUUAAGCCCAAAAGGCAUAGCCACAUAGCAGAAGGCUCCAAACAGAGUAAUAAAAGCCGUCUUCUCCUGGUCCUUAACUACCAUCUUGAUCUGAUGAUAACUAGAAUAAGCAUCCAAAAAUCUCAAACGCUCACAACCCGCCGUAGCAUCAAUGAUUUGAUCAAUACGAGGGAGAGCGAAUGGAUCAGCCGGACAAGCCUUGUUUAAGUCCGUGUAAUCCACACACAUACACCAGGUGCCGUUCUUUUUAAGCAGGAGCACCGGGUUAGCCAACCAUUAUGGAUGAAGAACUUCAAUAAUGAACCCGGCCGCCAAGAGCCAGGCCACUUCCUCACCAAUGGCCUUGCGCCUCUCCUCAUUGAACCGCCGAAGAAACUGCUUGACCGGCUUAAAUUUUGGAUCAAUAUUGAGAGUUUGCUCAGCAAGUUCUCUCGGUACACCCGGCAUGUCAGAAGGUUUCCAUGCAAAGAUGUCCCGGUUCUCACGGAUGAACCUGAUGAGCGCGCUUUCCUAUUUAGGAUCCAUAUUAGCACUGAUACUGAACUGCUUAGAUGAGUCACCUGGAACAAAAUCGACAAGCUUGGUGUCAUCAGCUGAUUUAAACUUCAGCACCGGCUCAUGUUCUGUAGUCGGCUUUUUCAAAGACGCCAUGUCUGCCGGGUCAACAUCGUCCUUGUAGAACUUCAACUCUUUUGUUGCACAAACAGAUUCAGCGUAAGCAGCAUUGCCUUCCUCGCAUUCCAAGGCUAUCUUCCGACUCCCAUGCACUGUCAUGGUGCCCUUAUGACUCGACAUUUUAACCUGCAAAUAAACAUAACACGGCCGUGCCAUAAACUUAGCAUAAGCCGGUCGUCCAAACAGGGCAUGAUACGGGCUCUUGAUUUUGACCACCUCAAAAGUUAACUCCUCGGCCCUAGAAUCAUGCUCAUCUCCAAAGGCUACUUCCAGUUCAAUCUUACUCACUGGGUACGCCGACUUACCAGGCACCACUCCAUGGAAAACAUUAUUGGACGUUUUAAUAUUUUUGUUAGUCAACCCCAUGCGACAGAAAGUCUCAUAAUAGAGGAUGUUGAUGCUACUGCCUCCGUCGAUGAGUACCUUAGUGAAUUUAUAUCCACCAACCUGAGGUGCCACCACCAAGGCCAGGUGACCCGGAUUGUCAACCUAGGGAGGAUGAUCUUCCCUACUCCACAGAAUAGGCUGCUCAGACCAUCUCAAAUAACGAGGGACUGCCAGAUUAACAACAUUUACACCCCUCUUAUGAAGCUUCUGGUCCCGUCUGCACAAACUGGUGGUGAACACAUGAUACUGUCCACUAUUUAACUGCUUUGGAUUGCUCUGAUAUCCAGACUGCUGCUGCUGCUGACCUCCCUAGCCAGAUUGCUGAUUGUAGCCACCUUGAUUUCCUUGAGAGCCUUAAAAGUUGGAAUUUGAACCGCCGCCCGGGCCAUGAAAACCGCCGCCACCUGAGCCACCGCUCGACCCAUGAUUGUUGUUGAACAUGUUAGAAUUCUUGAAAGCCUUCAUGAUCGUACAGUCCCUCCAUAGGUGAGUGGCCAGUUUCUGCUGAGUACCGUGCCUUGGACAGGGCUCAUUUAACAACUGUUCAAGAGUAGGACCUGACCCGCCGGACCGAGGAGGUGGCCUCCCCUUACAUCAUUGAUUGUUUCCCAGUGCAUUGGUGUUAGCCACAAACUCCGAGCUAUCAUCAGCCUUACGCUUAUUAUUGCCUCCUUGAUUCGCCGAGUUAUGCUGAUGACCCUUGGCAUUGUCGUUCUUCUUUCCCUUUCCUGUCUUCUCGUCGUGAGACUUAGGAUCCUUGGUACUAUCAGAGUCGAUGUACUUGACUAGAGCCGCCAUUAGCUGGCCCAUGUCAUUACAAUCGCGCUUGAGCCGCCUAGCUUCUGUUUCAGAGGCGUAAAAUGGCAAUUUUUCUCCAACAUUAAGACUGCAGAGCCGGCAUCCAUCUUAUCAGAUGAAUGUAUUAUGGCUUUGACCUGGCUGUCGGUGUCAAAACCGGUGGAUCUCGGGUAGGGGGCCCCGAACUGUGCGUCUAAGGCGGAUGGUAACAGGAGGCAGGGGAUACGAUGUUUUCCCAGGUUCGGGCCCUCUUGAUGGAGGUAAUACCCUACGUCCUGCUUGAUUGUUCUUGAUGAUAUGAGUAUUACAAGAGUUGAUCUACCAUGAGAUCAUAGAGGCUAAACCCUAGAAGCUAGCCUAUGGUAUGAUUGUAUGCUAUCCUAUGGACUAAACCCUCCGGUUUAUAUAGACACCGGAGGGGGCUAGGGUUACACAAGGUCGGUUACAAGGGAGGAGAUAUACAUAUCCGUAUUGCCUAGCUUGCCUUCCAUGCCAAGGAGAGUCCCAUCCAGACACGAGACGAAGUCUUCAAUCUUGCAUCUUCAUAGUCCAACAGUCCGGCCAAAUGAUAUAGUCCGGCUGUCCGGAGACCCCCUAAUCCAGGACUCCCUCGGUAGCCCCUGAACCAGGCUUCAAUGACGAUGAGUCCGGCGCGCAGUAUUGUCUUCGGCAUUGCAAGGCGGGUUCCUCCUCCGAAUACUUCAUGGAAGAGUUUGAACACAAGGAUAGUGUCCGGCCCUGGAAAACAAGUUCCACAUACCAUCGUAGAGAGAAUAAUAUUUCCACAAAUCUAAUCUGCUGACACGUUUUGACGGUAUGACAUCACGCCACGGCCCGGUCAUUAUUCGAACCGUUUUUCUCAACCAGCACCGCACAUAUCGCGAGGUGGUUUUCUUGACAUGUCUUUUCAAAGUAGAGAUCGUGUUCCCCUUAUCACGGUAUUCUCAUCAAUACGGACGUGGGUAACCCAACCGCGCCAUCAAUUAAGGCGCUUGGGGAAUAAGCGGUUUUUACCAGGCGAGUGGGGAGACACAUCGCCUCUUCCGCCCAUAUAAAGGGACAAGAAUUUAACCUUUUCACCCACGCGUUCUUCUUCCUCGCUUACCCAUUCCAGCACACUCGAGCUCUAGCGCCCAAGCUCGCGUUCUUCUUCUCAAACCACUCCAAGCAUGUCCGGAGCAGGAGGCAAGUGGAUGGUCUCCUCCAUCACGGAGGAGAACAUCAAAAAGUUAUGGGAAGCCGGAUAUCUGGCCGCGGAUAUCGCGCACCGGCUGCCAGAUGCGGGGCAGAUCAUCCCUAUGCCCGAACCCCAUGAGAGGGUAGUUUUUCUUACCCACUUCGUCCGUGGACUGGGAUUUCCCCUCCACCCAUUCAUCCACGGGCUCAUGUUCUACUACGGGCGGAUUUUCAUGAUCUGGACCCCAAUUUCAUCCUCAACAUCUCGGCGUUUAUCGUCGUGUGCGAGGCCUUCCUCCGCAUCAAGCCCCAUUUCGUCCUGUGGCUGAAGACUUUUAAUGUCAAACCGAAGGUGGUGGUCGGGAAGCAGGCAGAGUGCGGAGGCGCCAUGGUGGGCAAGAUGCCUAACGUCACCUGGCUCGAAGGCUCCUAUGUGGAGACCAUAAAGGGGUGGCAAUCAGGGUGGUUCUACAUCACCGAGCCACGCGACUCCAACUGGGCGGCGGCCCCCAAAUUUCGAUCCGGAGUCCCCACGCGGCUCACCUCCUAGAAAGAGAAGGGCCUGUCCUGAGGUUCUUUGGUAGAGCUGACCAGACUCCAGACCUGCAUCCAGAACAUGAAGAACAAGAAAAUCAAGCUUGUCAACGUGGUCCAGGUUAUGCUCUUCCGCCGGAUCCUUCCGUGUCAAUGACAGACAUUUGUUUUGUGGGAGUUCGACUCAGCCAAGCACGAGACGCUGCGAGAGCUCUAUGACACGACACACGAGGACGUCUGGAGGGUGCUGUUCAAGAGCGUCGAGAUUCCUCCCUCCCUCACCGAGGACCGCGGACUCAGCGCAAAGCGCCGCGCCAAUCCGGUAGGCUUUUAUAUCUCUCAGGGUAUUUGUUUGCCCCGGUUUAGUUAUGUGCAGGAUCUAAGCAUCCAUGCCAUUAACAGGACUGGAUAGAGACAGCGAAGCAGCUUGAUUGCCCAGCCUCCCUGCCCGAAGGUCCUGCAGACCCCCUUCUAACGAAGAUGCUGACUCCGGUACCUUACGAGGUGCCGGCAAAGAAGGCCAAGAAGAAGCCCAUAGGGACCCGAAAGGGUCUCCGGCGCAAGGUUGUAUCGGACUCAUCAUCCAAUGACUCCGAGGCGCACUCCUCCCACGGAAACAAGGAGGAGGAGGAGAAAAGUUCUCCCCCCAGCCGAGGGAGACAAGAAAAGGAAGGCCGACCCAUCCGGGGAGGCCGAAGGGUCCAAGAAGGGAAGGACCCUCCCUCCUGACCGCGCCACGAUGGCCGCCGACAUCGACGACAAGUGGCUACCCAGGGACAAGCCCCUGGCGAAGUCGUAAGUGUCCGGACACCAUAGUACUUCAUGGCAUGUUAUAUUGUACUGCCUCUCCUUAUGCCGAACAUGAUUAUGCAGUCCGUCCCAAGCUCAUCUUGACGUACCCUCGUCGAGCGGCUCUUUGGACCCGUCGGAUAUGAACAUCGGUUCUCUUCCGACCGCUUACACCCCUCGCCCUACGGAAAAUGCCGAGGUGUUGUCUCAAAAGGUACCGAGCCAAUUGGAGGUGGUCCUGGGGGCGCCUCGCGGCGACUUCCCGGACCAUGGGUACCAAGGGAGCAAGGCUCCUACGGGCUCCGAGUUCGAGCCCCAGCCGGACACUGCAUCGGAACCUCUGAUGGUUCCGAACUCCGGUAGGCGGUCCCCCGUUAAGGGGGGCCGACCAUCCGUGUCGGUGUCCUCUGUCCAUCCAGAGGCAUCCGACAACUUGCUGGAAGCGCUUCGCAGCGCUUCCAUCGAUGAAGAGCACCGCACUAUCAUGAGCGUGGUGGUCAAAAAGGUUCAGUCCGCCAAAAAUGGACUGACCGAAGCUUGUGCCAGCCUCCUAACAGGCUUUGAGGUAAGCAAUCAAAAUACAAGGAAAUAGUACCACAUAGAUAAUAGCCCCUGAUGCUCUGUUCAGCGUUCAAGAAGAAAAGCCGAAUAGAGGAUCAAAUGAUGACACAUGAGUCUAAUCAGAAUGUAUCUAUGUGUAUGUGCAGGCUUCGCUACUGGCUGCUGCCGCACGUACUGCGGAGGUCUCUGCACUCAAGCAGGACCUAGAGCGGUCCGAGACCGAGCUCGCCCUUACCAAGAGGCAGCUCAAGGAGAACAAAGGUAAGCAAUACCUUUGUCUAUAUAUUAAAAAGAAGUUCGGGUGUAAAGUAAUAGGAUCAUCAUAGAUUUGUCUGGGGCCACGACCGAAGUGGCGACCCUGAGGAAGGCGCUGGCCAAGGCCGAAGACAAAGAGGCCAAGGAACGCAUUGAACGGGAGAAGCAAGAAGCCCGAGUAGGCGAGGUGUAGCAAGAGCUCGAGGCUCUUGCCAAAAAGCAUGAGUCCUUGGAGCUUGACUCUAAAACGCAAGAGUCCGAGCUCGCGCAGGCGCUUGAAAGCGUCCGGAGCGCCAAGGCCGAAGCCCACAAGGCCCUUCAGGAGAUUGACGCGGUGAAGAAGAUAGCGGCGGGUAAGGCAUUAAUUAUGCAAAGCAAGCAUGUGAAGGAGACUUUCCUUUGUCUUACCCGAGUUUGGAGCUCUCCAGGAGCGUUUGCAGAUCUUCCCCGUAGUGUACUGGAUGCCGUGGAGUUUUACCGAGCUGAGGAGGGGAGCUCGACGGAGAAGUUGUUUUGGUCUCAGUAUACUGGGACCGAACACCCCGUGCUCUUGAGCGACCAGCUGAAGCAGUUGGUCGAGCUUCACAAGGCGGUCGAACAGGCCAUGAGGGGCCUUAUAGUCCGGAUGUGGCAUGGCGAGCCCCUGUUCGGCAGCUACUUCGGCCUAGUGAGGCGGCUCGUGGAAGCCUGCCCACGGCUUGAAGUCACAAAGCGAUUCGUCUGCAUCGAAGGUGCACGCAGGGCUUUUGCCCGGGCGAAGGUGUACUAGGCGAAGAUGGACGCCGUGAAGCUGGUGAAGGAGGGGCCGCCGGAGUGCAAGGAGCAUUGCUGCCUCGAGAAUUAUUAUGAUAGUGUCCUGAAGGGUUCCCGCCUACUGGCGGAUGAGUGUGCCAAGGAUGUAAUUUUUGAAUGAACAUGCUCAUGUGAUCGUGUAAUGUGAAAUGAGUUCAUUUGCUCCAUGGGACGCUUUCUUAAUUUAAAAUAUUACCUUCUGUGCGGCCGUUUAUAAAAUCUGAGAGUUGGCCAGUCGUUGGCUUCUGCCCCCAUGUAACUAGUACUGGGUGUUCGGGAUAAAAAUGAGCACUCUUUACCCCAAUUUUGGGUCCUUCGAGGGAGGUGUUCAGCGCAACGAACCAGGCAAUCGGACUAUAAUGCUUUAUCACUCUCACUUAGCCAUAGAAUUCUACAAUUUUAAAUUUGGCGAAGCCCAUGGUAUUCGGAGGGCCGAAUUUGGGGCGCUAUACACGCCUAAGCCGGACAAGGCCGACUCCUCGCCCGAAGCAGAAAAGUCUUUAAGGACUUGAGACCUCUCGAACAGUGACCAGUCUCUCACCUUAUCAUGACAGUCAGUUUUUGGCUUUCUCUACUGAGGUGCUCGUCCGGAAGAACCGGGACACAAUCGUAGUAGUUCUCCCACCGCUACCUUAGCCGAUAUAAUGGAACGUAAGGUACCAAAGCAUGGGACCGGGCAAACCCAACAUUUGACCAAAGACAUGAUUCCGAGCUGAUGCAUAUAAUGCUAUAAGUUUGGGGUGUCACACUGUCGAAAGUGUUCGGACUUCUUGCGCCAUAUUAUGGGGUAAACGAGAGCCCCUGGCGUACUUACCAUACCCGAACGUACGGGUGUGGAUUGUUGUAAAUGGACAUAUAAGAGAGAAAAGAAGAAAAACUUAAGUAAUGCAAUGAUAGACUAUCGAUAUGCAUUGUUAUUUAAAUAAUACGUCGAAGCGUACUGGUACAAGUAGUGCAAUAAGAAGAAAGCAGGAAAACUUGAAAUGUCCUAUCCCAGGGCGAGCUGCACAUGGAUUAGUAAAAAACGGGUAUAUCGAUUAUUAUUAGAGACCACCUGGGGGUUCCUGUGUUCAUCUUAGCUUCUUGCCGCCUUGGUUGUCGCUUCCGGAAUGUGUCCGGCAAUCAUACUGCCGGAAAGGGCUUCCAGAGAGUUAGGCCUUGAAAGAGAGAAGGAAUGAUAAAGGUAUACAACCCCUAGGGCGGUUUAAGCCACAUUGCGGGGCGUGUCCUGAUCGUGCCCCCGCCUAUGUCCAUGGUAUUUUCAGUGUGUAGUUAUGUAUGGGAGGCACGGAUUUUGUCGCUUGACUGGGACUGGGACGGGGGCCGAAUUGCUAGGCGAGCUCUGAUCGUGCCAGGCGAUCCUGUUGCAGCUUGUUCCGGACUCGCUUGAAGGUGUCCGGGGGCUGUGAUGCCGAAUGAGUGGUCUGCCUUAAAAGGCUGCUUUGUGCUUCUGCUGCAAGGGCCGCAGUGUGCUCUUCUGUGCGGAGCAAGCAUUAUGUGUUUCCAUUUACUGUUAUGACCCCCUGGGUCCUGGCAUCUUGAGCUUGAGGUAUGCGUAAUGCGACACUGCAUUAAAUUUCGCGAAUGCUAUCCGUCCGAGCAGUGCAUGAUAACCACUGCGAAACGGGAUGAUAUCAAAGAUUAACUCUUCGCUUCAGAAGUUGUUUGGUGAUCCGUAGACCACUUCUAGUGUGAUUGAGCCUGUGCAAUGGGUCUCUACACCUGGGAUAAAGCCUUUAAAGGUGGUUUUGCUAGGUUUGAUCCUCGAGGGAUCGAUGCCCAUUUUUCGUACUGUAUCCUGAUAGAGCAGGUUCAGGUUGCUGCCGCCGUCCAUAAGGACUCGAGUGAGGUGAAAUCCGUCAAUGAUGGGGUCUAGGACCAGUGCGGCGGAUCCACCAUGAUGGAUGCUGGUGGGGUGGUCCCUGCAAUCGGAGGUGACCGGGAAAGCAGACCAUGGGUUGAACUUUGGGGCGACGGGCUCCAUUGCAUAGACGUCCCUUAGUGCAUGCUUCCUCUCCCUCUUGGGAAUGUGGGUUGCGUAUAUCAUGUUCACCGUCUUCACUUGUGGGGGAAACCCCUUCUGUCCUCCUGUGUUUGGCGGCCGGGGCUCUUCCUCAUCAUCACUAUGCAGCCCCUUGUCCUUAUUUUCGGCAUUUAACUUGCCUGCCUGUUUGAACACCUAGCAUUCUCUGUUGGUGUGAUUGGCUGGCUUGUCGGGGGUGCCGUGGAUUUGACACGAGCGAUCCAGUAUGCGAUCCAAACUGGAUGGAGCCAGAGUAUUUCUUUUAAUUGGCUUUUUCUGCUGACCGGAUCUAGAGCCUUUGAAUCGGGCAUUGACUUUCGUAUCUUCGGUGUUAUCGCCAUUAUUGCGGCACUUUGUUCUGUUACGACGUUGCCUACCAUUAACAUCUUUGGUAUCCGAGGUGUUUGGAUUCCUCGAUGUGUUGUUGCUGCGAGCUAGCCAGCUAUCCUCGCCCGCGCAAAAGCGGGUCAUGAGUGUUGUGAGGGCUGUCAUAGAUUUCGGCUUCUCCUGGCCGAGGUGGCGGGCGAGCCACUCAUCACAGAUGUUAUGCUUGAAUGCCGCUAGGGCCUCUGUGUUCGGACAGUCUACAAAUUGGUUUUUCUUAGUCAGGAACCGAGUCUAGAAUUGUCUGGCCGAUUCUCCUGGCUGCUGGGUUAUAUGGCUCAAGUCAUCAGCAUCCGGUGGCCGCACAUAAGUGCCCUGGAAGUUGUCAAGAAAUGCGUCUUCCAGAUCCUCCCAACUGCUGACGGAUCAACUAGCAAGCUGUUCAGCCAAUGCCGAGCUGGUCCUUUGAGUUUUAGUGGGAGGUACUUGAUGGUGUGUAGAUCAUCACCGCGAGCCAUGUGGAUGUGAAGGAGGAAAUCCUCAAUCCAUACAGCGGGAUCUGUUGUGCCAUUGUAUGAUUCCAUAUUUACGGGUUUGAAACCCUCCGGGAAUUCAUGAUUCAUAACUUCAUCAGUGAAGCAUAGGGGGUGUUCGGAGCCUCUGUGCCGGGCUAUAUCCAGACGCAGUUCAUAUGAAUCUUGUCUGCCGUAUUCGGCCCGGCCGGAUUUACUCUUGGUGUAUCUGACGCAACAAUCACCGUCCCGUGAUGGCGCGUGUGUCCGUGACCCGUAUGUUGACCUUGCAAUUUUUGCCUUACUGUCCAAUACGUCUUGCAGGUCCCUUAUGUUGUCCCGGGCCUUAGUAUUUUUGAUUGAGUGGCGGUGGGGUGCAGGCUGAACUUCAGGCUAAAACGCCUCUCUGGCUCGGCCACGCAGUGGCCGGUCAGCCGCAUCAUACACUGGUGAUUGAGGUUUCAAUGCUUCCUCCUCGAGGUGAGGUAGCAACCUGCGUUUUGGGUAACUCUUGGAGGGGCGCUCGAGUUCAUACUCCUCGGCCGCAAGGACUUCGGUCCACCUGUCUGCUAGCAAGUCUUGAUCAGCUUGAAGUUGUUGCUGCUUUUUCUUUAGGCUAUUUGCCGUGGCCAUAAGCCGGCGCUUGAAGCGCUCUUGCUCGAUGGGGUCCUCAGGCACAAUAAACUCUUCGUCACCGAGGCUCGCCUCAUCUUCAGAGAGAGGCAUGUAAUUGUCCUCCUCCGGUUCUCCAUCUGCUGCCCGCUCUGGGGGCUAGCUUGUUUGUCCUCCGGCUCUACAUCGCGCUGCAGGGGAUUGUUGUUGUCUUCAGCACUAUCCGGAGAGUUAUUAUCUCCUGUGCCGGUAUCACUGCUUUUGUUGUGGCGGGACUUAGAGCGGUGCCGCUGACGUCGGCGUUUGGGUUGCUUCUUGGAGGGGUCAUCCUCUGCUGUCUCAUCGCCAUUGCCUUCUUUGGGGGUGUCCACCAUGUAUAUAUCAUAUGCUGAGGUGGCGGUCUAGCACGCUGUGGGCGGUGGUUCCUGUUCGUCUCCGGCGUCGUCGUCCAUACCAUUGAAGUCCUUGGAGGCGAAGUCGAGCAUGUCGGUUAAGUCGUAGACAGUGGCUACUAAGUGGGUGGUGGGUGGGCGGCGGAUUUCUUCAUCCUCCGCAUCCCAUUCUAGCCAGACAUAGUUCGGCCAAGGUUCUCCUGAUAGGGAGAGAGACCUUAAUGAAUUUAGCACAUCACCGAAGGGCGAGUGCUGAAAGAUAUCCGCGGAGGUGAACUCCAUGAUCGGCGCCCAGUCGGAUUCGACGGGUACGGAUGUAAGCAGCUCGGAGUCCGUGGCCGGAGAUGAAUCCAAUGGUUCGGCGACACGGCUCUCAUAAGGGGUGAAGUCAGUAUCCGGCUCUAUCGCCACUGAGAGUGCGGCCUCCUCAGCGGGGUCCAUCCCUCCGCUCUCGUAUGGCGCGACUUGCUCCGGAUUAAUGGCCGGAGUAGUUGAAGACACGAUCUCCCGAACAUUGUAUGAUGGCAGAGUUACGUCAUGCUCGUCGCGACUGUGCGGCGUGUCCGACAUGGGCUCGAAUCCAUCAAAGAUCAAGUCUCCGCGGAUGUUGGCCGUGUAAUUCAAGUUUCCAAAUCUGACCUGAUGGCCAGGGGCGUAGCUCUCGAUCUGCUACAGAUGGCCAAGCGAAUUGGCCCGCAGUGCGAAGCCGCCGAAUACGAAGAUCUGUCCGGGGAGGAAAACCUCACCCUGGACCGCAUCGUUACCGAUGAUCGAAGGAGCCAUCGAGCCUUAUGGCGACGGCAUAGUGGAACUCUCAAUGAAAGCACCAAUGUCGGUGUCAAAACCGGCGGAUCUCGGGUAGGGGGUCCCGAACUGUGUGUCUAAGGCGCAUGGUAAGAGGAGGCAGGGGACACGAUGUUUACCUAGGUUCAGGCCCUCUUGAUGGAGGUAAUACCCUACGUCCCACUUGAUUGUUCUUGAUGAUAUGAGUAUUACAAGAGUUGAUCUACCAUGAGAUCGUAGAGGCUAAACCCUAGAAGCUAGCCUAUGGUAUGAUUGUAUGUUGUCCUAUGGACUAAACCCUCCAGUUUAUAUAGACACCGGAGGGGGCUAGGGUUACACAAGGUCGGUUACAAGGGAGGAGAUAUACAUAUCUGUAUUUCCUAGCUUGCCUUCCACGCCAAGGAGAGUCCCAUCCGGACACGAGACGAAGUCUUCAAUCUUGAAUCUUCAUAGUCCAACAGUCCGGCCAAAGGAUAUAGUCCGGCUGUCCGGAGACCCCCUAAUCUAGGACUCCCUCACCGGCGCACCCAAUGGGUCGUGGACUCACCUUCCUCUUGCUUGCAAUUAGUCAAAUCCACAAUUGACAUGGGAUGCUUGCAUGUGUCUUUGAAAUUCUGAAUAAACCAGGCCUUUAGCUAUGCCCAUGAACCAAUGGAAUUAGGCGGCAGUCCCUUUAACCAAGUUCGGGCCGUCGCGUCCAACAUCAUGGUGAAGUACUUGGCCAUUGCAGAGUCACUGACCUCCAACAGUUCCAUGGCCAUCUCAUAACUUUCAAUCCACGCCCGGGCUGUAAAUCGGGCGUGUAAUUAGGCACCUUUCGAGGCCCCUUGAAAUCCUUAGGCAAACGUUCAUUACGCGGCAUCGGCACCAAGCAAGGGACACCUCCAGUCCUCGUGGUCAUGCCUUCUUCAAGACAAGUCGUCGGAUAGACCGGAAAAGACUGGUAAGCCGCCCGCUGAGCCACCUACUCAGCUGCCUGUUGAACCGUCCACUCAACCUCUUGGCGAAUCCUGUCCUGGUCAACCAAGUUAGGAGCUCCAUCACACGCCGGGUCAUGCCCGCACGGCUGGUCAUGGCGCCAGGCGUUGCUUGAAACAGCUGCUGAAUCUAUAUGACUGCUAUAACUCGGGCUCUGGCUUGGGUGAGGGGUCGAAUGAAUCCUGUCUCGACUAAUGCUGCGCCAGAGCCGUCUGAAGAAGUUCUCUAACCCUUCAUGUUUCAAUUGUCGUCGGAGAGUCGCCCUCCGCCGGGAGAGUCGUCAAUCAUGCCGCCGCAGCGAUCAUGUUUUCCAAAGGGUUGGAAUAAUGACCCGGUGGUGUUGGUACAUAAUGAGGUGAAUCAGUAUUCAUACGAGGAGGUUCCACCGCCCGUGGUUGAACCAGCGUUCCUGCCCCGGGUGUUGCAACCCGGGUUACCUCUGGCGGGUUGCUAGGGCCUGCACCGGGUGUGCGGAAGAGGUUUCUAGGAUCAUAAGUCAGAGGCAGACGGGAUUGAGUUUUCUGGUGCCUUCUCCUCAUGACCUCAUUUGAUGCAUUCAAAUCCAUCGUAAGCUGGAAAGCCUCUGAUUGAAUCUGCUGAGCCCGGGCAUCCAAAGUCGCCCGCUCUGCGGCCAUCCCGACGUCCUCCACUGCUAGGUUUUCCUUGGCUUGUGCUACCUCCUCACGUAACCGUGCCACUUCUGCAUCAUGUUGAGCCUGAUCCGCCGGGUUAACCACGACAGUUAACAGGGCUGUCAUCCUAUCCAUGAGAUCCAUCAGUACGUGAGUCGGCGGGUGCGCAGGGCCUCCUGCCCCGGCCGCCGUUGACCCGGAAGUUAUCGCUGCCGCAGCCGUAGAGUUUUGAAUGGGUUGAGUGCCAGUCAUGAAGAUCCCUGCCCUGCUUGGUGAUACAUCUCCAACGUAUCUAUAAUUUUUGAUUGUUCCAUGCUAUAUAAUAUUAUGUUUUGGACAUUAUUGGGCUUUAUUAUACACUUUUAUAUUAUUUUUGGGACUAACCUAUUAACCGGAGGCCCAGCCCAGAAUUGCUAUUUUUUUCCUACUUUAGGGUUUCGCAGAAAAAGAAUAUCAAACGGAGUCCAAACAAAAUGAAACCUUUGGGAACGUGAUUUUCGGAACGAACAUGAUCCAGAGGACUUGGACCCUACGUCAAGCAAUCAACGAGGAAGGCACGAGGUAGGGGGGCGCCCUCCACCCUCGUGGGCCCCCUGUUGCUCCACCGACGUACUCCUUCCUCCUAUAUAUACCUACGUACCCCCAAACUACCAGAUACGGAGCCAAAACCCUAAUUCCACCACCGUAACUUUCUAUAUCCACGAGAUCCCAUCUUGGGGCCUUUUCCAGAGCUACGCCGGAGGGGGCAUCGAUCAUAGAGGACUUCUACAUCAACACCAUAGCCUCUCCGAAGAAGUGUGAGUAGUUUACUUCGGACCUACGGGUCCAUAGUUAUUAGCUAGAUGGAUUCUUCUCUCUUUUUGGAUCUCAAUACAAAGUUCUCCCCCUCUCUUGUGGAGAUAUAUUCGAUGUAAUCUUCUUUUGCGGUGUGUUUGUUGAGACCAAUGAAUUGUGGGUUUAUGAUCAAGUUUAUCUAUGAACAAUAUUUGAAUCUUCUCUGAAUUCUUUUAUGUAUGAUUGGUUAUCUUUGCAAGUCUCUUCGAAUUAUCAGUUUGGUUUGGCCUACUAGAUUGAUCUUUCUUGGAAUGGGAGAAGUUCUUAGCUUUGGGUUCAAUCUUGCGGUGUCCUUUCCCAGUGACAUUAGGGGCAGCAAGGCACGUAUUGUAUUGUUGCCAUCAAGAAUAAUAAGCUGGGGUUUAUAUCAUAUUGCAUGAGUUUAUUCCUCUACAUCAUGUCAUCUUGCUUAAAGCGUUACCCUGUUCUCUUGAACUUAAUACUCUAGAUGCAUGCUGGAUAGCAGUCGAUGUGUGGAGUAAUAGUAGUAGAUGCAGGUAGGAGUCGGUCUACUUGUCUCGGACGUGAUGCCUAUUGAGGGAGUCCUGGCUUAGGGGGUAUCCGGACAGAUGGAUUAUAUGCUUUGGCCGGACUGUUGGACUAUGAAGAUACAAGGUUGAAGACUUCGUCCCGUGUCCGGAUGGGACUCUCCUUGGCGUGGAAGGCAAGCUUGGCAAUAUGGAUGUGUAGAUCUCCUUCCUUGUAACCGACUCUGUGUAACCCUAGCCCCCUCCGAUGUCUAUAUAAACCGGACGGUUUAGUCCGUAGGACCAACAGACAAUCAUACCAUAGGCUAGCUUUUAGGGUUUAGCUUCUUCGAUCUCGUGGUAGAUCAACUCUUGUAACACUCAUAUUAUCAAGAACAAUCAAGCAAGACGUAGGGUAUUACCUCCAUCAAGAGGGCCCGAACCUGGGUAAACAUCGUGUCCCCCGCCUCCUGUUACCAUCCGCCUUAGACGCAUAGUUAGGGACCCCCUACCCGAGAUCCGCCAGUUUUGACACCGACAUUGGUGCUUUCAUUGAGAGUUCCUCUAUGUCGUCAUCAUUAGGCUUGAUGGCUCCUUCAAUCAUCGAUAGCGAUGUAGUCCAGGGUGAGACCUUUCUCCCCGGACAGAUCUUUGUAUUCGGCGGCUUCGCACUGUGGGCCAGCUCGCUUGGCCAUCUGGAGCAGAUCGAGAGUUACGCCCCUGGCCACCAGGUCAGGUUUGGAAGCUUAAACUACAUGGCCGAUAUCCGCGGAGACUUGAUCUUCGACGGAUUCGUGCCCCUGCCGAGUGCGCCACAUGGUCACGAUGAGCAUGAUUUAGCUCUACCAUUGGACAGUGUUCAGGAGAUCGCACCAGCAACCGCUCCGACCCUCAAUUCGGAGCCAAUUGCGCCAUCCAUGGACGGGUGGAUAGACCCCGCCACGGAGGCCGCAUACUCAGCGGCGAUCGAGCCGAGUAUUGACCUUACCCUUCAUGGGAGCCGUGACGCCGAACUGCCGGAUUCUUCCCCGGCCACAGACUCCGAAUCGCCUGCGCCCGUGCCUAACGAAUCCGACUGGGCGCCGAUCAUGGAGUUCACCUCCGCGAAUAUCUUUUAGCACUCGCCCUUUGACGGCAUACUGAACUCAUUAAGGUCUCUCUCCUUGUCAGGAGAGUCCUGGCUGAACUAUGUCCGGUAGGAUUGGGAUGCGGAUGACAAAGAAAUUCGCCGCCCACCCACCACCCACUUAGUAGCCACUGCCGACAAUUUGACCGACAUGCUCGACUUCGACUCCGAAGACAUCGACGGUAUGGACGACGAUGCAGGAGACGAACAAGAACCACUGCCCACAGGGCACUGGACAGCCACCUCAUCAUAUGAUAUAUAUAUAUAUAUGGUGGACACACCCAAAGAAGGCAAUGGCGUCGGGACAGCGGAGGAUGACCCCUCCAAGAAGCAACCCAAGCGCCAACGUCAGCGGCGCCGAUCUAAGUCUUGCCAAAGCAAAAGCGGUGAUACCAGCACAGGAGAUAAUAGCACUCCGGACAGUGCCGAAGAUAACGACAAUCCCCUCCAGCAAGAUUUAGAGCAGGAGGAUGGAGAAGCCAGCCCUCCCGAGAGAGCGGCAAAUGGAGAGGCGGAGGAUGAUAAUUACAUGCCUCCCUUCAAAUACGAGGCAAGCCUCGACGAUGACGAAUUUGUCAUGCCUGAGGAUCCCGUCGAGCAAGAGCACUUCAAGCGCCGGCUUAUAGCCACGGCAAAUAGCCUUAAGGAAAAGCAACAACAACUUCAAGCUGAUCAAUAUUUGCUAGUUGACAGAUGGACAGAAGUCCUUGCGGCCGAGGAAUAUGAACUCGAACGCCCCUCCAAGAGUUACCAAACCGCAGUUUGCUAUCCCGACUGAAGGAGGAAGCAUUAAAACCUACAUCUCUAGCGUAUGAUGCGGCUGAUCGGCCACCUCGUGGCCGUGACAAAGAGGCAUUUCAGCCAAAAGCUCAGCCCGCACCCCGACGCCACUCAAAUAAAAAUGUCAAGGCAUGGGGAAACACGCUAGACCUGCAAGGCGUAUUGGAGGACAAAGCAAAAAACGCAAGAUCGAUCUACAAAUCACGAGGGUGCGCCACUACGCGAGAUGAUAACUGUCACACCGGAUACAGUAAAAGUAAAUCCGACCGGGCCGAACACAUCGGACAAGACUCAUUUGAGCUGCUUCGCGAUAUAGCCCAGUACAGAGGUGCCGUACACCCACUAUGCUUCACAGACGAAGUAAUGGAUCACCAAAUCCCAGAAGGUUUCAAACCCGUAAAUAUCGAAUCAUACGACAGUACAACAGAUCCUGCGGUAUGGAUCAAGGACUUCCUCCUGCACAUCCACAUGGCCCGCGGUGACAAUCUACACGCUAUCAAAUACCUACCACUCAAACUCAAAGGACCAGCUCGGCAUUGGCUCAACAGCCUGCCAGCAGAAUCCAUUGACUGUUGGGAAGAUCUGGAAGCCGCAUUCCUCGAUAACUUCCAGGGAACUUAUGUGCGACCACCAGAUGCCGAUGACUUGAGCCACAUAAUUCAGUAGCCAGAGGAAUCGGCCAGGCAAUUCUGGACACGGUUCCUAACAAAGAAAAAUCAAAUCGUCGACUGUCCGGAUGUAGAGGCCCUAGAAGCUUUUAAGCACAACAUCCGCGACGAGUGGCUAGCCCGGCACCUUGGCCAGGAAAAGCCGAAAUCUAUGGCAGCCCUCACGACACUCAUGACCCGCUUCUGCGCGGGAGAGGACAGCUGGCUGGCUCGCAGCAAUAACAUAUCAAAGAACCAUGGUACUUUGGAUACCAAGGAUAGCAAUGGCAGGUCACGUCGCAACAAACACAAGCGCCGCAUCAACAGCGAUAGUACCGAGGAUACGACAGUCAAUGCCGGAUUCAGGGGCUCUAAACCCGGUCAACGGAAAAAGCCAUUCAAAAGAAGCACUCCAGGCCCGUCUAGUUUGGACCGUAUACUCGAUCACUCAUGUCAAAUACAUGACACCCCCGACAAGCCAGCCAACCACACCAACAGGGAAUGUUGGGUGUUCAAGCAUGCCGACAAGUUAAAUGCCCGAAACAAGGAUAAGGGGCUACAUAGAGAUAACGAGGAGCCACGGCCGCCGAACACUGGAGGACAAAAGAGGUUCCCCCCACAAGUGCGGACGGUGAACAUGAUAUACGCAACCCACAUCCCCAAGAGGGAGCGGAAGCGUGCGCUAAGGGACGUAUAUGCGUUGGAGCCAGUCGCCCCAAAGUUCAACCCAUGGUCCUCCUGUUCGAUCACCUUCGAUCACAGGGACCACCCCACUAGUUUCCGUCAUGGAGGAUUCGCCGCACUGGUCCUAGACCCAAUCAUCGAUGGAUUUCACCUCACUCGAGUCCUUAUGGACGGCGACAACAGCCUGAACCUGCUUUAUCAGGACACAGUGCGCAAAAUGGGUAUAGAACCCUUAAGGAUCAAACCCACAAAAACGACCUUCAAAGGCGUCAUACCAGGUGUAGAGGGCCAUUGCACAGGCUCAGUCACACUGGCAGUGGUCUUCGGAUCCCCGGAUAACUUCUGAAGCGAGGAGUUAAUCUUCGAUAUAGUCCCGUUCUGCAGUGGCUAUCACGCACUGCUCGGGCGAACCGCAUUUGCGAGAUUCAAUGCAGUACCGCAUUAUGCAUACCUCAAGCUCAAGAUGCCACGACCUCGGGGGGUCAUCACAGUCAAUGGAAAAACAGAGCGCUCUCUCCGCAUGGAGGAGCACACUGCGACCCUCGCAGUAGAAGCACAAAGUAGCCUCUUAAGGCAAUCCACCAGUUCAGCGAUUAAACACCCGGACACCUUCAAGCGCGCCCGAUUAAUCGGCAACAAGACCGCCUGGCACGUUCCGAGCUCACGUAGUAAUGCGGCCCCCACCCCAGUCCCAGCCAAACGGCGAAAUCCGUGCCACACGUACAUAAUUACGCAUUGAAAAUACCAUGGGCAUAGGUGGGGAGGGGGGCACAACUAUGGCACGCCCCAAGACGCGGCUCAACCGCACUAGGGGCUUCCCACUUUGUUAUUUUUCUCUCUUUCCGGACUUUACUCUCUGGAAACCCCGUCCGGCAGUACGAUUGCCGGACACACGAUGCAACAACCAAGGAGGCAGAAAGCUAUGUCGCACCAUGGAACUCCCAGGUGGUCUCUAAUAACGAGUAAAAUACCUGCUUUAAAUACCAUUCCCUAGCUUGCCCUUGGAGGGGACAUGUCAAAUAGUCCUACUUUUUGCUUAUCGCACUAAUUGUAUCAUUCUGCUUCGACGCACCUUUUUGAAUAAACAAUUCAUAGCACUAGACUAUUACCGCAUUCUCUAUUCUUUUUUAUAUAUAUGUUCAUUCAUGACAUUCAGCACCUGUACACUCUGGUACGGCCAAUAUGCCAGGGGCUUAAGCGUACCCCAUAAUACGGCGUGAGAAGUCCGAACACUUUCGACAGUGCGGCACCUCGAACUUAUAGCAUUACAUGCAUCAGCUGCGAAUCAUGUCUUGGGUCAAUAGUUGGAUUUUCCCGGCUCCCAUGUUUUGGUACCUUACGUUCCGCUAUAUCGGCUAAGGUAGCACUGGGAGAACAACUGCGAUUGUGCCUCGGUUCAUCUGGGCUAAGCACCUCAGUAGAGAAAGCUAAAACUGACUGUCAUGAUAAGGCGAGAGCUGGUCGCUAUUCGAGAGGUCUCGAGUCCCUAAAGACUUAUGCCGCUUAGGGCGAGGAGUCGGCUUUGUUUGGCUUAGGCGUGUAUAGCGCCCCGAAUUCGGCCUUCCGAAUACUAGGGGCUUCGCCAAAAUUUAAAAUUGUAGACUUCUAUGGCUAAGUGAGAGUGAUAAAGCAUUAUAGUCCGAUUGCAUUGUUCGUUGAGCUGAGCACCUCCCUCGAAGGACCCAACAAUGGGAAAAAGAGUGCUCGGAUUUAUCCCGAACACCCUAGCACUCGUGGGAUGGGGGCAGAAGCCGACGACUGGCCAUCUCUCAGAUUUGAUAAACAGCCGCACAGAAGGUAAUAUUUUAAAUUCAAACAAGCGUUGCAUAGAGCACAUGAACAAGUUUUCAUGACACAGGAUCACACGAGCAAGUUCAUUCAAAAACUACAUCCUUCGCACACUCGUCCGCCACAUGGCGGGCACCCUUCAGGACACCCUCAUAAUACAUCUCAGGGUGGCGAUGCUCCUUGCCCUGCGGCGGCCCCUCCUUCACCAGCUUCUCGGCGUCCAUCUUAGCCCAGUGCACCUUCGCAUGGGCAAAAGCCCAGCGUGCACCUUCGAUGCAGACGAACCGCUUUAUGACUUCCAGCCGUGGGCAGGCAUCCACAAGCCGCCUCACCAGGCCGAAUUAGCUGUUGGGGAGGGAGUCGCCAGGCCACAUCCGGAUUAUAAGGCCCCUCAUGGCCUAUUCGGCCGCCUUGUGCAGCUCGACCAGUUGCUUCAGCUGGUCGCUCACAGGCAUCGGGUGUUCAGUCCCAGUGUACUGAGACCAGAACAACUUCUCCGUCGAGCUUCCCUCCUCGGCCCGAUAGUACUUUGCGGCAUCCGACAUGCUGCGGGGCAAAUCUGCGAAUGCUCCUGGAGAGCUCCGGACUCGGGUAAGUAAUAAGUAAUUUACUUUCACAUGCUUGCUUUGCAUAAUGAAUGCCUUACCCGCCGCUAUCUUCCUCAUCGCCUCAAUUUCCUGGAGGGCCUUUUGGGCUUCAAUCUUGGCAUGCUUUGUGCUCUUGAGGGCCGCGGCAAGCUCGGACUCGCGUCUUCGAGUCAAGCUCCAAAGUCUCGUGCUUCUUCACGAGAGCCUGGAGCUCUUGCUGCACCUAGCCCACCCGUGCUUCUUGUUUUCUCCCGCUCAGUGCGCUCCUCGGCCGCUUUGUUUUCGGCCUUGGACAACGAUUGCUUCAGGGUUUCCACUUUGAUCAUGGCCCCUGGCACACCCAUGAUGAUCCUGUCAUUUUGCAACCACAUCUUUUUUUAUAUAUAUAUACAAGGUAUUACUUACCUUUGUUCUCCUCGAGCUGCCUCUUGGCAAGGCCGAGCUCUUUCUCGGACUGCUCGAGGUUCUGCAUCAGUGCGGCGACCUCCGCAGUCAGUGCGGCAGAGGUCAGCAGCGAAGCCUGCAUACGCAUCCAGACAUACUUAUAUUAGACUCUAGCAGAUAUUAUUUGAUCCUCUAUUCAGUUUUCUUUGUGAACACCAAACAAAGCAUCAGGGGCUACUGUCUAUGCGGUAAUAUUUUCCUAUAUUUUAAAUACUAACCUCAAAGCCUGUUAGAAGGCUGGCACAGGCUUCAGUCAGUCCACUCUUGGCAGACUGAAACUUCUUGAUCACCGCACUCAUAAUAGUAUGGUGCUCUUGGUCGAUGGAAGCGCCGCGAAGCGCUCCCAGCAGGUUGUCUGGUGCCUCUCGAUGGACAGAGGUCACCGGCAUGGGUGGCUUGCCCCCCUUGGCAGGGGGGCGCCUACCGGAGUCCGGAACCACUGGAGGUUCCGGCGCGGUGUUCGGCUGAGGGCCGAACUUGGAGCCCUUGGGAGUCUUGCUCCCUUUGCGCCUGGAGUCCGGAAGGUCCCCUUGAGGCGCCUCCAGGACUACCUCCCCUCGGUUCGGUGCCCCUUGAGACAAUACCUCAACAUUGUCCAUAGGGCGAGGAGACGAGGCAGAUGGAAGUGGAUCGCUAUCCAUAUCUGACGAGUCCAAGGAACCGUCCGACGAGGAUACGUCGAUACGGGCUCGGGCAGACUGCAUGAUCAUAUUCGACGUUAGGAGAAGUAGUGCAACAAAAGUAUGCUAUGAGUUACUCUGGUAUCCGAAUACUUAUGACUUCGCCAGGGGCUUGGCCCUAAGUAACCACUAGUCUUCGCCGUCGGCGGUGGUGGUGGAACAGUCCGGAAGGAGAGUCCUUCCCAGCUUGGACCCUUCGGCCUCCCCGGUUGGGGCGGCCUUCCUUUUCUUGUCUCCCCCGACUGGAGGGGGAGAAUCUUCAUCUUCCUCCUCCUCAUUUUCACGGGAGGAGUGCGUCUCAGAGUUAUCGGACAAUGAGUCCGAUACCACCUGGCGCCGGGAACUCUUUCGGGUUCCCAUGGCCUUCUUCUUGGUCUUCUCCGGCACCUCAUAAGGAGCCGGAGUCCGCAUCUCCGUCAGGAGAGUGUCUGCAGGGUCUUUGGGCAGAGGGGUCGGACAGUUAAUCUGCUCCAAUGUCUCCACCCAGUCCUAUCAAAGGCAUGGGAGCUCAGACCCCGCACAUGGUUAAGCUAUGGGAAAUAAAUACCUUACCAGAUGUACAGAACUUACCGAAUUCGCAGGGCGCUUCGCGCUUAGCCCGCGGUCCUCCGUAUGAGAAGGGGGGGACCUCGGCGCCCUUGAACAGCACCUUCCAGAUGUCCUUAUGUGUCGUGUCGAAGAGCUCGCGUAGAGUCCGGUGUUGGGUCGGGUCGAACUCCCAUAAGUUGAAAGCCCGUUGUUGACACGGGAGGAUCCGGCAGAAGAGCAUGACCUGGACUAUGUUGGCAAGCUUGAGUUUCUUGCCUAUCAUGUUCCGGAUACACUUCUGGAGUCCGUCCAGCUCCAUCGAUGAGCCCCAGGACAGGCCCUUCUCCUUCCAGGAAGUGAGCCGAGNNNNNNNNNNNNNNNNNNNNNNNNNNNNNNNNNNNNNNNNNNNNNNNNNNNNNNNNNNNNNNNNNNNNNNNNNNNNNNNNNNNNNNNNNNNNNNNNNNNNNNNNNNNNNNNNNNNNNNNNNNNNNNNNNNNNNNNNNNNNNNNNNNNNNNNNNNNNNNNNNNNNNNNNNNNNNNNNNNNNNNNNNNNNNNNNNNNNNNNNNNNNNNNNNNNNNNNNNNNNNNNNNNNNNNNNNNNNNNNNNNNNNNNNNNNNNNNNNNNNNNNNNNNNNNNNNNNNNNNNNNNNNNNNNNNNNNNNNNNNNNNNNNNNNNNNNNNNNAUUGCCACCCUUUUAUGGUCUCCACGUAGGAGCCCUCGAGCCAUGUAACGUUGGGCAUUUUGCCCACCAUGGCUCUGCCGCAUUCCUCUUGUUGGCCGCCUACUACCUUCGGUUUGGCAUUGAAGGUCUUCAGCCACAGGCCGAAGUGGGGCCGGAUGCGGAGGAAAGCCUCGCAUACGACAAUGAACGCCGAGAUGUUGAGGAUGAAAUUCGGGCAGAUCAUGGAAGUCCAGCCCAUAAUAGAACAUAAGGCCGCGGACGAAUGGAUGGAGGGGAAACCCCAGUCCGCGGACGAAGUGGGUGAGGAAAACCACCCUUUCGUGAGGUUCCGGGGUAGGGACGAUCUGCCCCGCGGCUGGCAGCUGGUGCGCGAUAUCCGCGACUAAGUAUCCGGCCCCGCGCAGCUUUUUGAUGUCUCCCUACGUAACGGAGGAGACCAUCCACUUGCCUGCCGCUCCGGACAUGUUUGGAGAGGGUUGAGGAAAAGGAUGUGGACUUGUGCGCUGGAGCUCGAGUGCGCGAGAAUGGAUGAGCAAGGAGGAAGAAGGCGUGGGUAGAAAAAGGCGAACCCUUAUCCCUUUAUAAGGGCGGACUAAACUAUGCACCCCCACCAGCCUGGUAAAACUCGCUUAUCCCCCAAGCGCCGUAAUUGAUGGCGCAGUUGGGCUACCCACGUCCGUAUUGAUGGGAAUCCCAUAAUAAGAGGACACAAUCUCUGCUUCGACAAGACGUGCCAAGGAAACUGCCUCGCGAAACACGCUGAGGUUGGUUGUGAAAAACAAUUCGAAUGGUGACCUGGCUGUGGUGUGGUAUCACACUGCGGAAUGCCUCGGCAGAUUAGAUUUGUGGAAAUAUUAUUCUCUCUAUGGUUGUAUGUGGAAUUUGUUUUGCAGAGCCGGACACGAUCCUCGUGUUCAAAAUCUUCUAUGAAGUAUUCGGAGGAGGAACCCGCCUUGCAAUGCCGAAGACAAUCUGCGCGCCGGACUCAUCGUCAUUGAAGCCUGGUUCAGGGGCUACUGAGGGAGUCCUGGAUUAGGGGGUAUCCAGACAGCCGGAUUAUAUCCUUUGGCCGGACUAUUGGACUAUGAAGAUACAAGAUUGAAGACUUCGUCCCGUGUCCGGAUGGGACUCUCCUUGGCGUGGAAGGCAAGCUUGGCAAUAUGGAUGUGUAGAUCUCCUUCCUUGUAACCGACUCUGUGUAACCCUAGCCCCCUCCGUGUCUACAUAAACCAGAGGGUUUAGUCCGUAGGACCAAGAGACAAUCAUACCAUAGGCUAGCUUUUAGGGUUUAGCCUCUUCGAUCUCGUGGUAGAUCAACUCUUGUAACACUCAUAUUAUCAAGAACAAUCAAGCAGGACGUAGGGUAUUACCUCCAUCAAGAGGGCUCGAACCUGUGUAAACAUCGUGUCCCCCACCUCCUGUUACCAUCCGCCUUAGACACACAGUUUGGGACCCCCUACCCGAGAUCCGCCGGUUUUGACACCGACACCUAUAUGCAUGAUCAUACCUAGAUAUUCUCAUAACUAUGCUCAACUCUGUCAAUUGCUCAACAGUAAUUUGUUCACCCACCAUAAAUACUUAUGCUCUUGAGAGAAGCCACUAGUGAAACCUAUGGCCCCGGAUCUAUCUUCCAUCAUAUUAAUCUUCCAAUACUUAGUUAUUUCCUUUGCCAUUUAUUUUACUUUGCAUCUUUAUCAUAAAAAUACCAAAAAUAUUAUCUUAUCAUAUCUAUCAGAUCUCACUCUCGUAAGUGACCGUGUAGGGAUUGACAACCCCUUAUCAUGUUGGUUGCGAGGAUUUAUUUGUUUGUGUAGGUGCGAGGGACUUGUGCGCGGCCUCCUACUGGAUUGAUACCUUGGUUCUCAAAAACUGAGGGAAAUACUUACGCUACUUUGCUGCAUCACCCUUUCCUCUUCAAGGGAAAACCAACGCAGUGUUCAAGAGGUAGCAAGAAGGAUUUCUGGCGCCGUUGUCGGGGAGGUUUGGGCAAGACAAGUCAAGAUUUGACUCCCGACAAUGAGUCACUUGUGGCGCCGUUGCAAGUCAAGACAUACCAAGUACCCAUCACAAACCCUUAUCUCCUGCAUUACAUUAUUUGCCAUUUGCCUCUCAUUUUCCUCUCCCCCACUUCACCCUUGCCGCUUUAUUCGCCCUCUUGCUCCAUCCUCCCUCUCUUUCUCUAUUUUCCUCCUUUUGCCUGUUUCUUGUUCGCUUGUGUGUUGGAUUGCUUGCUUGUCAUUAUGGCUAGUCCCCUAUCUUCUCCGUUGUCUCCCGAAAAUGAAGUUCUUAAUUUUAAGCAAAGGGAAGGAGAAAACCUAAAAGAUGCUUGGUAUAGAAUUUGCAAUGCUCAAAAUAGAUCUACCAGGAAGCAAUCUACUUCUAUUCUUCUCUGCAAUUUUUAUGUAGGUGCUAUUCCUUGGCAUAGAUAUGUCCUUAAUACCAUCGCCGAAGGGAAUUUCUUGGGUAGCAACACUUUCGAUUCCUAUAAUGCUAUGAUAGAUUUGUUUGGCUCACCCCCUCUUUUGGUUAAUGGAACUAUGUUAACUUUCGAGCAUGUAAUGCAAAAACUUGAAAUUAUUGAAAAUAAAGUUGCUACCGUUGAGUUAAUUGAAAAUUUCGAUAAAAAGAUCCACAACCAAAUUACCCAAUAUGGAUCUAAAGUAGGAGUAACGUUGAAAAAUAUUAAAGAGAAGGAACCUAUAGUUAUUGAAAGAAUAAAUCAUGAUUCCACUAGAAUCGAUAAACUUGAGGGUAUCAUUACCAACUUGGGAACCGCUUUUUCUUCCGUAAAGAAUACUCCAAGUCCUCCAACUAAAAUUGCCAAGCUUAUGUAUGUUCCUAAAAAUAAGGGUGAAUCCUCUAGCAAAGAAACUGUGGAUCUCAAUUAUAAGUAUUCAUCCUAAUCUUUUUGCUAUCAUUAAGGAACCAUUUGCUACUAAUGAAUUUUUCGAUCUUGUGCCUAGAAGUUUGAUUAUUUAUGGAUUAUGGAACAAGGAGUGGAAAGAGCCUAAGCUUGGGGAUGCCCAUGGCACCUCAAGAUAAUUUCUAAGGACACCUAAAAGCCAAAGCUUGGGGAUGCCCCGGAAGGCAUCCCCUCUUUUGUCUACUUCCAUCGGUAACUUUACUUGGAGCUAUAUUUUUAUUUACCACAUGAUAUGUGUUUUGCUUGGAGCGUCUUGUAUUAUUUGAGUCUUUAUUUGUUAGUUUUCCACAAUCAUCCUUGCUGUACACACCUUUUGAGAGAGACACACACGAUUCGGAAAUUGUUAGAAUACUCUAUGUGCUUCACUUAUAUCUUUUGAGUUAUAUAGUUUUUUCUCUAGUGCUUCACUUAUAUAUUUUAGAGCACGUUGGUGUAUUUGUUUUAUAGAAACUAUUGUUCUCUCGUGCUUCACUUGGAUUAUUUUGAGAGUCCUACAAAACAGCAUGGUAAUUUGCUUUAACUAUGUUAUGCAUUCAAGAUUAAUAAAAAAAUUCUUAUGAGUGUGUUGAAUACUAUGAGAAGUUUGAUACUUGAUAAUUGUUUUGAGAUAUGGAGAUGGUAAUAUUAGAGUCAUGCUAGUCGAGUAGUUGUGAAUUUGAGAAAUACUUGUGUUAAAGUUUGUGAUUCCCGUAGCAUGCACGUAUGGUGAACCGUUAUGUGAUGAAGUCAGAGCAUGAUUUAUUUAUUGAUUAUCUUCCUUAUGAGUGGCGAUCGGGGACGAGCGAUGGUCUUUUCCUACCAAUUUAUCCCCCUAGGAGCAUGCGUGUAAUACUUUGCUUUGAUAACUUGUAGAUUUUUGCAAUAAGUAUAUGAGUUCUUUAUGACUAAGGUUGAGUCCAUGGAUCAUACACACUUUUCUUCCUUCCACCAUUGCUAGCCUCUCUAAUACCGCGCACCUUUCACCGAUAUCAUACACCCACCAUAUACCCUCGUCAAAACAGCCACCAUACCUACCUAUCAUGGCAUUUCCAUAGCCAUUCCGAGAUAUAUUGCCAUGCAACUUUCCACCUUUCCGUUUACUAUGACACGCUCCAUCAUUGUCAUAUUGCUUUGCAUGAUCAUGUAGUUGACAUUGUAUUUGUGGCAAAGCCACCAUUCAUAAUUCUUUCAUACAUGUCACACUUGAUUCAUUGCAUAACCUGGUACACCGUCGGAGGCAUUCACAUAGAGUCAUAUUGUGUUCUAAGUAUUGAGUUGUAAUUGUUUAUUUGUAAGUAAAUAAAAGUGUGAUGAUCAUCAUUUUUAGAGCAUUGUCCCAAGUGAGGAAAGGAUGAUGGAGACUAUGAUUCCCCCACAAGUCGGGAUGAGACUCCGGACGAAAAAAAGAGGCCAUAAAAAAAGAGGCCCAAAUAAAAAAAUAUGAGAGAAAAAGAGAGAAGGGAUAAUGCUACUAUCCUUUUACCACACUUGUGCUUCAAAGUAGCACCAUGAUCUGCAUAAUAGAGAGUCUCCUAUGUUAUCACUUUCAUAUACUAGUGGGAAUUUUUUGUUAUAGAACUUGGCUUGUAUAUUCCAAUGAUGGGCUUCCUCAAAAUGCCCUAGGUCUUCGUGACCAAGCGAGUUGGAUGCACACACACUUUGUUCCUUUUGUUGAGCUUUCAUAUACCUAUAGCUCUGGUGCAUCCGUUGCAUGGCAAUCCCUACCCACUCACAUUGAUAUCUAUUGAUGGGCAUCUCCAUAGCCCGUUGAUACGCCUAGUUGAUGUGAGACUAUAUUUCCCCUUUUUUGCCUCCUCCACAACCACCAUUCUAUUCCACCUAAAGUGCUAUGUCCAUGGCUCACUCUCGUGUAUUGCAUGAAGAUUGAAAAAGUUUGAGAACACCAAAAGUAUGAAACAAUUGCUUGGCUUGUCAUCGGGGUUGUGCAUUAUUUAAAUAUUUUGUGUGGUGAAGAUAGAGCAUAGCCAGACUAUAUGAUUUUGUAGGGAUAAGUUUCUCUGGCCAUGUUAUUGUGAAGAGACAUAAUUGCUUAGUUAGUAUGCUUGAAGUAUUAUUAUUUCUAUGUCAAUAUUGAACUUUUGUCUUGAAUCUUUCAGAUCUGAAUAUCCAUACCACAAUUAAUAAGAAUUACAUUGAAAUUAUGCCAAGUACCAUUACACAUCUAAAAUUUUGUUUUUAUUAUUUACCUACUCGAGGACGAGCAUGAAUUAAGCUUGGGGGUGCUUGAUACGUCUCCAACGUAUCUAUAAUUUUUUUUGUUCCGUGCUAUAUUAUAUUCUGUUUUGGACAUUGUUGGGCUUUAUUAUACACUUUUAUACUAUUUUUGGGACUAACCUAUUAACCGAAGGCCCAGCCCAAAAUUGUUUUUUCCCUAUUUUAGGGUUUCGCGGAAAAAGAAUAUCAAACAAAGUCCAAACGGAUUAAAACCUUCGGGAACGUGAUUUUCGGAACGAACAUGAUCCAGAGGACUUGGACCCUACGUCAAGCAAUCAACAAGGAAGGCACGAGGUAGGGGGGGCGCCUACCCCCCCCCCCCCAGGCACGCGCUCCACCCUUGUGGGCCCCCUAUUGCUCCACCGAUGUACUCCUUCCUCCUAUAUAUACCUAUGUACCCCCAAAAUAUCAGAUAUGGAGCCAAAACCCUAAUUCCACUGCCGUAACUUUCUGUAUCCACGAGAUCCCAUCUUGGGGCCUUUUCCGGAGCUCCACCGGAGGGGGCAUCAAUCACGGAGGACUUCUACAUCAACACCAUAGCCUCUCCAAUGAAGUGCGAAUAGUUUACUUCAGACCUAUGGGUCCAUAGUUAUUAGCUAGACGGCUUCUUCUCUCUUUUUGGAUCUAAAUACACAGUUCUCCCCCUCUCUUUUGGAGAUCUAUUCAAUGUAAUCUUCUUUUGCGGUGUGUUUGUUGAGACCGAUGAAUUGUGGGUUUAUGAUCAAGUUUAUCUAUGAACAAUAUUUGAAUCUUCUCUGAAUUCUUUUAUGUAUGAUUGGUUAUCUUUGAAAGUCUCUUCGAAUUAUCAGUUUGGUUUGGCCUACUAGAUUGAUCUUUGUUGCAAUGGGAGAAGUGCUUAGCUUUGGGUUCAAUCUUGCGGUGUCCUUUCCCAGUGACAGUAGGGGCAGCAAGGCACGUAUUGUAUUGUUGCCAUCGAGGAUAACAAGAUGGGGUUUAUAUCAUAUUGCAUGAGUUUAUCCAUCUACAUCAUGCCAUCUUGCUUAAGGCGUUACUCUAUUCUCUUGAACUUAAUACUCUAGAUGCAUGCUGGAUAGCGGUCGAUGUGUGGAGUAAUAGUAGUAGAUGCAGGCAGGAGUCGGUCUACUUGUCUCGGACGUGAUGCCUAUAUACAUGAUCAUACCUAUAUAUUCUCAUAACUAUGCUCAAUUCUGUCAAUUGCUCAACAAUAAUUUGUUCACCCACCGUAAAUACUUAUGCUCUUGAGAGAAGCCACUAGUGAAACCUAUGCCCCCGGGUCUAUCUUCCAUCAUAUUAAUCUUCCAAUACUUAGUUAUUUCCUUUGCCAUUUAUUUUACUUUGCAUCUUUAUCAUAAAAAUACCAAAAAUAUUAUCUUAUCAUAUCUAUCAGAUCUCACUCUUGUAAGUGACCGUGUAGGGAUUGACAACCCCUUAUCGCGUUGGUUGAGAGGAUUUAUUAGUUUGUGUAGGUGCGACGGACUUCUGUGCGGCCUCCUACUGGAUUGAUACAUUGGUUCUCAAAAACUGAGGGAAAUACUUACGCUACUUUGCUGCAUCACCCUUUCCUCUUCAAGGGAAAACCAACGCAGUGCUCAAGAGGUAGCACUUGGCGGCUCAAAGGGGUCCAGAAUACUGCUGCCAUCAGAACAGCCCCCGAGCCCACCGUCUUGCAAUUGAUACAAUGAAUCCGUCUCACCUGUGGACGACUCACCAUAAAAAUAGACGGCCGUCUCACUGCCAGACACAGAUCCUUCAGAAAAUUCUCCUCCAUGGAUGCAUCCCACGAAAGCACACUUCAUGGCGAGCUGAGUCCGGGUGGGUCUCGCACGCUGAGCCGUCUCGACGAUGUCGGUGCAGAUGUCCGGCUCAGGGCCCGGCUCGCCAAUCUGGCCGAUGAAGACAUGGAUUCCACCGAAGGGGACCCGGUACCUGUACUCAAUUGAGCCGGCGUCGGGGCCCCAGCCUGCGUCAUCGAUGUAGAGCUUGCCACGACGACUCUUGGUCAUCCGGCCCACAACAUAUCCCUUGAGACCUUCGAAGCUACCCUUCAAGAACUCAAAUCUGCCGUGCGCAGGCCCCACGGUGGGCGCCAACUAUUGUGGAAUCGUCACAGCAGAUGUCCUAGUGUGAGGACUUAGUUGUGAGGCUAGCGCAUCUUUGAGGUAGCUUGAGAGGGGUUGAUCGGGAUGAGAGACGCAGGGUGGAUCAACACACAAGACAAGGAUUUAGACAACUUCGGGCCCCGGGAAACAUCAUCUGGUAAUAGCCCUACAUGCUGUUUGUGGCUAGGUCUCAUUAUGCUCAUGAGGGAGUCGCCGCAUAAGUCGGCUCUCCUAGUUGUGCCUAGCCCUAGAAAUUAUUUUCUCCCUCUUUGGGUGCCCUGCCCCUCCUUAUAUAUGUUGAAGGGGCGGGUUACAUGACUAGUUCUAGUAGGAUUAUGAUUACCACUACAAAAAAUGACACAUCCGUGACAUUUUGGGCCGAACGAAAAAAAUUUCUGUCAUACAUAUGACACUUCUAUGACGAUAAUUGUGACAAAACCCGGUAUCAUCAUAGAUGUGGUGGGCUCCUACUUCUAUGACAAAAAAUCAUGACAAAAAAUGGGCUUUUCGUCCUGGGCAGGCCGAAGACGCAGUUGCAUGACAUUCUUUGGGCCGUCCAUGACGGAAAAAACCGUGGUAGAAGCGAGGGCGAGGAAAAUUUCGGGGAGUUCCCGGUUACGGUGGGAAGUCGAGGGCCGAGCGAUGCGUGUUUCUCUCGUACGAGUAUGCGCGCGUGUGUGAGGCGUUGGCUCUAACUGAACCCGAGCGAGGCGUUGGGCUCUAACUGAACCCGAGCGAUUGCACUGCAGGCUACACGUUACUGAACCCGAGCGAUCGAUCGAUGGCUGUUAACUGAACCCGAUCGAGCGAUUCCUUCUCUACUGCUGCUAACUGAAGCCGAUCGAUGCUGCCUCUGGAUGAACAGUGAGCGUUGCGGGGGGGUUGGAUGAACAGUUCCCAGUGAGGGUGGAUGAACAGGACCCCGUGGUGUUGCCUCUGGAUGAACAGGACCCCGAUCGAUCGAGCCGGUUGGGGCUGGAUGAAUAGGACCUCAUGGAGGGCUGGAUGAACAGGACCACCCCGUGGAGGGCAGGAUGAAUAUUAGACGGUGGAGGGUAGGAUGAACAGUAGCCCGUGGAGGGGUGGUUGAAUAGGAGCCCGUGGAGAGGGCUGGUUGAACAGUAGCCGAUGGAGUAGCGCGCGGUGGAGGCUGGAUGAACAGGAGCCCGUGGAGGAACAGAUGCAGGUGGAGGCUGGAGGAGGUCGACGGUGGAUGAACAGUAGCUCGUGGAGGCUGGAGGGGGUCGACGGUGGAGAUGAACAGUAUCCCGUGGAGUCCCAUUUUGUGGUACACCACACCCCUCCCGAUGAACAGGACCCCCGUUUCGACCGUAGCGCUCCAACGCUAGUCUGUUUCGUCCGUUUUGCGAUACGCCACACCCCUCCCGAUCAACAGGACCCCCGUUUCGAUCAUAGGAGGUCCGUUUCCUUUGUUUUGCGGUAUGCCAGACCCCUCCCGAUCAAUAGGAUCCCAUUUCGAAUGUGGCCGGUCGAACAGAAGGCCGUUUCCUCUGUUCUGCGGUACGCUAGGCCUCGUUUCCAUCGCAUGUUCUGUCCAAGCCCUCCCGAUGAACAUGACGCAUUCCGUUGCCUCCCCAUGAACACGACGACGACUCUGUUUCUCCGUUCCGACCCAGCCAUAUACACGAGCCCUGGCCGUACGUAUGCGCGAGUAGGCGUUCGAGACCCCGCCCGUAUGUACACAUAUGUGGCCGUAUUUUCUUUCUUGCACACUGGCCGCUGUACGUACGUGUACAUGCUACGUGCGUGCCUCUACUACAACACGUGCGCGCCUCUACAUCGACCAGUAUAUAUGUACGUACACGUUCACGACCAGAAUGACAACGCUACGUACGCUUCGACCAGGUGGGUCCUGACUGCCAGGCACUUCGUUGCGUGCGAAGAUGUAGCUGGUGGGUCCCAGCAGUCAGGGGCAAACAUUUUUUUGCAAAAUACGGUGGCCCGUCCGGUGGGUCCCCACUGUCAGGUGGAGGAAUAAUUAUUUUGCGCAUAAUAAGGAGGCACUUCCUUGCUGCGGCCGUGGACCCAGCUGUCAGCGUCUCCACGCAUAGUACUCUUCCGAUGGAAGUCGGCCAUUGACCACAUUAACCACGCCGCGCCGAGAGCACCAUGGUGGUGGACAACAGUGAGGCCUAGGAAGGGGAUGAUGCGGAGCCGGGGAAGACGCGGCAGUGGAAACCCGCGCGGAGAGGAGUACGAGGGUUCACUGGUUCGGCUGCGGUGUGAGGCUGCCGUUGCCGCAGGGCCUGGCUAGUGGUGGGAAUAGUAGGGGGCGGUGAGGCCUCCGCGGCAGCACAGCCGGCCACGGGAGGCAGGAGCAUGCGGCACGACCGGCGCUGCUUUGGGCGGCUGGAGCAAGAAGACCAGAGGUUGAAGAAGCACUACGGCCGUUGGAUGGACAUCGUACGGUCACUGGAGCUAGAAUCGUUCAUAUUGACUAAGUUGACAAAGCCCUUCGUCCUCGUCAACUUAGUAGGCCCACAAGUCAGCCUCCCACCAAGGUGGGUCCCAGCUAGCCGGGGGAGUAUUCAUUUUUUUGUGCGUAAUAAGGAGGCACUUCCAGUGGGUCCAAGCUGACAGUAGGGGGGACGUUUUUUUCGCGAAAUACAGUGGCCCGUCCGGUGGGUCCCAGCAGUUAGGGGAAACAAUUUUUUUUGCAAAAUACUGGUGGCCCGUCCGGUGGGUCCCCGCUGUCUGGUGGAAGAAUAAUUAUUUUGCGCGUAAUAAGGAGGCACUUCCUUGCUGCGGCCGUGGACCCAGCUGUCAGCGUCUCCACGCACAGUACUCUUCCGAUGGAAGUCGGUCGUUGACCACAUUGACCACGCCGUGCCGAGAGCACCACAGCGGUGGACGACGGUGAGGCCUAGGAAGGGGACGACGCGGAGCCGGGGAAGACGCGGCAGCGGAAGCCCGCGCGGAGAGGAGUACGAGGGUUCACUGGUUCGGCUGUGGUGUGAGGCUCCCAUCGCCGCAGGGCCUGGCCAGCGGUGGGAAUAGUAGGGGGCGGUGAGGCCUCCGCGGCAACAUAGCCGGCCACAGGAGGCAGGAGCAUGCGGCACGACCAGUGCUGCUAUGGGCGGCUGGAGCAAGAAGACUAGAGGUUGAAGAAGCACUACGGUCGUUGGACGGACAUCGCACGGUCACUGGAGCUAGAAUCGUUCAUAUUGACUAAGUUGACAAAGCCCUUCGUCCCCGUCAACUUAGUAGGCCCACAAGUCAGCCUCCCACCAAGGUGAGUCCCAGCAAGCCGGGGGAGUAUUCAUUUUUUUGUGCGUAAUAAGGAGGCACUUCCGGUGGGUCCGAGCUGACAGCGGGGGGAACGUUUUUUUCGCGAAAUACGGUGGCCCGUCCGGUGGGUCCCAGCAGUCAGGGGGAAACGAUAUUUUUCGCAAAAUACUGGUGGCCCGUCCGGUGGGUCCCCGCUGUCAGGUGGAGGAAUAAUUAUUUUCCGCAUAAUAAGGAGGCACUUCCUUGCGGCUGCCGUGGACCCAGCUGUCAGCCUCUCCAUGUACAGUACUCUUCCGAUGGAAGUCGGUCGUUGACCACAUUGACCACGCCGCGCCAAGAGCACCACGGCGGUAGAUGACGGCGAGGCAUAGGAAGGGGACGACGCGUAGCCGGGGAAGACGCGGCAGUGGAUGCCCACGCGGAGAGGAGUACGAGUGUUCACCGGUUCGACUGCGGUGUGAGGCUGCCGUCGCCGCAGAAUAACAGGGGGUGUGGGUGAGUAGAGGGAUGCCCUGGCCGACGGUGGGAGUAGUAGGGGCCGCUGAGGCCUGCGCGGCAGCACAGCCGGCCACGGGAGGCGGGAGUAGGUGGUCCCGCCGGCGCUGCUUUGGCGGCUGGAGCAAGAAGAUCAGAGAUUGAAGAAACACGACGGCCGUUGGAUUGACAUCCAAUGGUUACGUCUGCUAGAAUCGUUUGUUGACGUAUAUAAUAACUAAAAAAAUCUUGCAUACGCGUCAACUAAACAGUCCCACAAGUCAGACCACUCCCUCUUUUUUAAUAAUUUAUAUAUAGCUCAUGGCAACUUCUUAUGCAAUUUAUUGCAGUCGUUUUUUUUGGUUGGCCAGGGCCAAUUUCGCAUAUUUCUGUGGGUUCCAAACUUUUUUUAAUACCGAAAUGUCCAGCCAGAUUUAAAGUACUUUGAAGAUAUAUUUAAAUUAGGUUAAUGCCCAGUGAAAUAGGAAUCUGGAAAUGUAAUAAAAUUCAGAAAUUAUAAAGUAAUUGCCAAUUUGUCAUCUGUUUUUAUAUUUACAACCCAUUUCGUAUUACUUUCAAGAUUUGUAGGUGUCUUGAAAGAGUUGCAGCCCAUCAGGGCGUAGAAAAAUAAGUAUGCCUGGAUUGGGUAUUCUUCAGAUAAAAUAAACUGGGCUCAUUUUCACAAAGAAAAAAUAGUUGGGCUGGUCACAUGGUGAACAUAAAAUAUAAGCCUGGGCUAGAUGGGCCACAACCCAGUUCAAACCCUGUUCCGUCUCAACAAUACCAAACAAAAAAAUAUUGCUCGAGUAGCUACGUCCCAGGUGUCAGCCGAUCUUGUGAUGUUCUCUUGUCUAUUGACUAUAUACGCUCCCAAUGUCGUGGGUCCCAGAUGUCAGGAAAACACUAGGAGGAAGCAUUUUAUUUUUCCAUACUCUGAAGUGGUGGGCCCCUACUGUCAUCCUCUCCAUGUACUUUUGCUGAUUCCUGUUGUUUGUUGACCAUGUUGACAACGUGAGAGGGCGGCGCCACGGCGAGCGUACCAAAGCGCGUGGAGGACGUCAGCGUUAACGAUUUAGGAGACGGUGGGGAGGCGACGCGUGCGCUGAGGCGCAGCCAGCCGUGGGAGGCGGAAGCAGGCGGCCCCACCGGCACUGGUUUGGUUUUGGCGGCUGGAGGAAGACAGGACUGAAGAAACACGACAGACUGCAAAAGCAGCAGGAGUACUUAACAACCUUAACUGAAACCAGCAGGGGCACUUAACAACCAAAGCUGAAAGCAGUAUGAGUACUUAUACAGGUUCAACCGUACAAAGCACACCUCGAACAGUGCUAAUUUUCCUACAGUUAACCAAGGGUGAGGCCGCCAAGCCCCAGGACAAGGCCCAGGCGCCACCCCGCGCAUCCACAACCUUCUGAAAGCGGCUUCAUCUCGCAACGUGGUCAAUAAACAGGAUAUUCGCUUUUGAGCCAUGGAAAAGCAUGAACAUAAUCUUCUGUCCUAUUCUCCAAGAUGGACGAGCCUUCAUUAUUUGGGACCACCCAUGAAUAAGUAUCUUUUCACCUCCAAGGGGAAUUUAGUAGGUCGACAUAAACAUCAUGUUGUGACCAAGCGCAAGUCUGACCCGACCAUGCUCAGGCAUAUGUAUAGGAACAAUAGAACUCGGCAGUUCCUGUUCCAAGAAGAUCACAGCUUUAAAACUGUGUAUAAGCAAUAGUUUAUGAACAACAUAUAUAACAGAAAACAGCUCGUACCAUAAGUUUCUCGACACAGUUGGACCUGUUCAACGAGUGCAACAGUGGCACACAUAUCCCACGUGGCCUUCCACCAUUGAAACACCCCACAAGGACCUCAAGACGAUCAAUAAAGUGUAGGAACUUGUGGAUGUCGAUCCAGUCAACUUCAGUGCCAUUAGUAACAGCCGAGUUAUUACAGAGUAACAAACGAGCAGACUGCUUAACUCUAAAAAAAACCUACACGUGCCACCAAUUAUAAGAAAAUAUUAGUUAGAAGUAGCAUCUUCGUGAGAGAUUCGUUGCUACUUCUAAAGUUAAAUUGUGAUUAGUUAGACAGAAUAGGUGGAUUAAGAAGUAAUCGAGGCAACAAGCAAGAACCUGAUACAAAACUAGCAUGGAUGAACAAUUGGAACGACGUCGGGGUGGAAGAUCACAGUGAAGAUGAGACCAGGUUCUGCUAUUUCCAUCAACAUUCGUGCGCCAACUUUCAGUCCAUAACACUUGAGAAAGUUUAUCCAAGUUCGGCCAUAAAGAAAGCAGCGAUAUUCUUGGUUCAUGAACGCAACUCGGAACUUAUAUCCAUGGCUUGUCUUCACUGUGACCAUUAAACUAGUGUAUUCAGUUAUGGCAAGGCCGAGCAUCUUGAGUACAUGUGUUUUGGCAGAGCAAAUAAUACACUGCAAGAAAAAUAAUGUGAGAACGCAGCAUGUUCAAAAAACCCCCACCCUCCUGGAUAGGAAAGGGGAUUCUAGGAACAUAUUGUGCACGUUUCAAAAUGUUGUGUUAGGAUGAGAAGGACAAAAAAUGUGGCGUCUCUCCGAGGGCGCAGAAACCUAUAGGGUACUCGCACUUUGGGCACUGCAAAUGAAACACACUAGAUUCAGUAGGAAGAAAAAUGCAUCAACGGUGGCGGCUGCCAUCCUAGGAUUACCUGCGACCAAGGGACUUGGGUUUAUUGGGGAUGGAUGAAGAAUUCGUACCUGGUUCUCCAUGAGAAAACCCUAUGCAAUCGCCGAGAGGGGGUUUUCUCUGAACAAGCAGACAAGGGAGAAGGGGAUUCAGGCCCGGUGAAAUAUUGCUGCUUCAUCCAUCUAGCUUACUGCUAAAGCUGGGAAGGGGGGGUUGUGAUUUGACGGCUCAUUGGGCAUUACUGUGGCGCUACGACCGGGGUGUGUCUACCGUGAAGUUGUGCACUCUAAUGUGUGCAUAUGGCUCGUGGACCCCGUUGCCCCACAUAUCAGGGAAAGGAAGUAGAAAGACAGGAGUAACUAGUUACACAAAAAUAUAUUUUUUGACAGAGAGAUACUUCCUCUGUAAAGAAAUAUACAAAUCUUUUAUAUCACAGGCUUAGCUUGCCAAGAAAUAUACUCCCUCUGCAAUGCACGGGCAUUAUGGGGGUUCAGCUGAGAAUAUAAUACUCAGAUGUUUUUUUGAGGGAUAAAAGUUGCUUUAUUGAAGAUUAACAGUCAUAGGUAUACAAAUAAUUUCGGGGGUUCCUGUGAGCCAAAGAUGGCAUCCACAAGGCAAAGAAGUAGCAGCUUUUGCGAGCACAUGCGCUUCAACAUUACACUCGCGUUUUUUCAUGUAUGAUCUCCAUGGUUUGGAACAUAUUCUUCUUCAUCUUGAUCUCGUCCAUAAUAACUUUGCUGGGCCCCAAGUAUGCCUCUCCAAUAUGCUUGACUGUUGCUGAACAAUCGGUGCUAAUCUAAACUUGUUGUAGGUUUAAGUCAAGAGCCAGAGAUAGCCCCUCGCAACAUGCCAUUGCCUCUAGGAUCUCAGGAUCAGUAACACUUUCGCACACCAGUGUCGAUGCUCCAAGGAAGAAGCAUGUAUGAGCCCGGCUCACAACUGCCAGGGCUCCCCUUUCACCAUUACGAGAUAACGCAGCAUCAACAUUCAUCUUCGCCCAACCCACAGCAGGAGGAGGACGCCACUUCUGCACUGAUCUAGUGCUUCUCGAAACCAGGUUCUGGACUUUGGGCCGCAGGCCGACCCUGCAUGUUUGGGGGCCCAUGUGUUCUACCUCAGCGCUUUUCAUAUUGCAAGCAAUCAGUACGACGCUGGUUUUAGAUGUUGUCGCAAGGCGAAUACACAAAAUUGAAUAAAGCACGGCAGCUGUUGGAAUGAAAUCGAACGACAGUUCCUAACCAGCAAUCAGAGUUGCAAUUCUAUCAACGAUAUAUCAUGUGAUAAAUAAUACUAUCGUACUACUUAUACACACAGGACACUUGUUUCACAAGGCCAGAUUAUUACAUCAAAAUCUCUCGGAGGAUAGAUCAGUUAGGCAGUUGCGUGCUGAUACGUCUCCAAUGUAUCUAUAAUUUUUGAUUGCUCCAUGCUAUAUUAUCUACUGUUUUGGACUAUAUUGGGCUUUAUUUUCCACUUUUAUAUUAUUUUGGGGACUAACCUAUUAAUCGGAGGCCCAGCCCAGAAUUGCUGUUUUUUUGCCUAUUUCAGUGUUUCGGAUAAACAGAAUAUCAAACGGAGUCCAAACGGAAUAAAAUCUUCGGAAACGUGAUUUUCUCACCGAACGUGAUCCAGGAGACUUGGACCCUACUGCAAGGGAUGAAAGAGGUGGUCACGAGGGUGGGGGGCGCCCCCCCUAGGGUGCGUCCCCCUGCCUCAUGGGCCCCUCGGUGCUCCACCGAUGUACUCCUUCCUCCUAUAUAUACACACGUACCCCCAAACGAUCAGAACAAGAGCCAAAAACCUAAUUCCACCGCCGCAACUUUCUGUAUCCACGAGAUCCCAUCUUGGGGCCUGUUUCGGAGCUCCGCCGGAAGAGGGCCGUCAUCACGGAGGGCUUCUACAUCAUCCUAGCCCCUCCGAUGAAGUGUGAGUAGUUUACCUCAGACCUUCGGGUCCAUAGUUAGUAGCUAGAUGGCUUCUUCUCUCUCUUUGAAUCUCAAUACAAAGUUCUCCCCUCUCUUGUGGAGAUCUAUUCAAUGUAAUCUUGUUUUUGCGGUGUGUUUGUUGAGACCGAUGAAUUGUGGGUUUAUGAUCAAGUCUAUCUAUGAAUAAUAUUUGAAUCUUCUCUGAAUUCUUUUAUGCAUGAUUGGUUAUCUUUGCAAGUCUCUUCGAAUUAUCCGUUUGGUUUGGCCAACUAGAUUGGUAGUUCUUGCCAUGGGAGAAGUGCUUAGCUUUGGGUUCGAUCGUGCGGUGUCCUUACCCAGUGACAGAAGGGGCAGCAAGGCACGUAUUGUAUCGUUGCCAUCGAGGAUAACAGAUGGGGUUUAUUUCAGAUUGCAUGAAUUUAUCUCUCUACAUCAUGUCAUCUUGCUUAAGGCGUUACUCUGUUUUUAACUUAAUACUCUAGAUGCAUGCUGGAUAGUGGUCAAUGAGUGGAGUAAUAGUAGUAGAUGCAGAAUCAUUUCGAUCUACUUGUCACGGACGUGAUGCCUAUAUACAUGAUCAUGCCUAGAUAUUCUCAUAAUUAUGCUCAAUUCUAUCAAUUGCUCAACAGUAAUUUGUUCACCCACCGUAGAAUACUUAUACUCUUGAGAGAAGCCACUAGUGAAACCUAUGGCCCCCGGGUCUAUUCUCAUCAUAUCAAUCUCCAUCACUUUUAUAUUGUUUUGCUAUUUACUUUGCCUUUACUUUUUACUUUGCAUCUUUCUACCAAAAAUAGCAAAAAUAUUCUAUCUAUCAGAUCUCACUCUCAUAAGUGACCGUGAAGGGGCUUGACAACCCCUAAUCGCGUUGGUUGCGAGUAGCUAUCGCUUUGUGCAGGUACGAGGGACUUGAGCGUGGGCUCCUACUGGAUUGAUACCUUGGUUCUCAAAAACUGAGGGAAAUACUUAUGCUACUCUGCUGCAUCAUCCCUUCCUCUUCGGGGAAAACCAAUGCAAGCUCAAGACGCAGCAAGAAGGAUUUCUGGCGCCGUUGCCGGGGAGUCUAUGCAAAAAGUCAACAUACCAAGUACCCAUCACAAUCCCUAUCUCUCACAUUACAUUAUUUUCCAUUUGCGUCUCGUUUUCCUCUCCCCCAUUUCACCCUUGCCAUUUUAUUCGCCCUCUCUCUCUGUCCCCCCUCUCUGUUUGCCUCUUUUGUCCGCUUGCUUUUUGUUUGUCCGUGUGUUAGAUUGCUCGUUUGUCGCGAUGGCUCAAGAUACUACCAAAUUGUGUGACUUCACCAAUACCAAUAAUAAUGAUUUCCUUAGCACUCCUAUUGCUCCUCUUACCGAUGCUGAAUCUUGUGAAAUUAAUACUGCUUUGUUGAAUCUUGUUGUGAAAGAUCAAUUCGCCGGCCUUCCUAGUGAAGAUGCCGCUACUCAUCUGAAUAGCUUCGUUGAUUUAUGUGAUAUGCAAAAGAAAAAAGAUGUCAAUAAUGAUGUCGUUAAAUUGAAGCUAUUUCCUUUUUCGCUUAGAGAUCGUGCUAAAGCUUGGUUUUCGUCUUUGCCUAAGAAUAGUAUUGAUUCAUGGAACAAAUGCAAAGAUGCUUUUAUCUCUAAGUAUUUUCCUCCCGCUAAGAUCAUCUCUCUUAGAAACUAUAUAAUGAACUUUAAACAACUUGAUCAUGAACAUGUUGCACAAGCUUGGGAGAGAAUGAAAUUAAUGAUACGUAAUUGUCCUACUCAUGGUUUGAAUUUGUGGAUGAUUAUACAAAAAAAUUAUGCCGGAUUGAAUUUUGAUUCUAGAAAUCUUUUAGAUUCAGCUGCGGGAGGCACUUUUAUGGAAAUCACUUUAGGAGAUGCUACUAAACUCCUAGAUAAUAUUAUGGUUAAUUAUUCUCAAUGGCUGAAAGAACUUCUAAUAAAAAAGUGCAUGCGAUAGAAGAAAUUAAUGUGUUGAGUGGAAAGAUGGAUGAACUUAUGAAAUUAUUUGCUACUAAGAGUGUUUCUUCUGAUCCUAAUGAUAUGCCUUUGUCUACUUUGAUUGAGAAUAAUAAUGAAUCUAUGGAUGUGAAUUUUGUUGGUAGGAAUAAUUUUGGUAACAACGCUUAUAGAGGGAAUUUUAAUCCUAGGCCAUAUCCUAGUAAUCCUUCUAAUAAUUAUGGGAAUUCCUACAACAACUCUUAUGGAAAUUAUAAUAAGAUGCUCUCUGAUUUUGAAUUUAAUAUUAAAGAAUUUAUUUCUUCGCAAAAGAAUUUUAAUGCUAUGAUUGAAGAAAAAUUGCUUAAGAUUGAUGAUUUGGCUAGGAACGUUGAUAGAAUUGCUCUUGAUGUUGAUACUUUGAAACUUAGAUCUAUUCCACCUAAGCAUGAUAUUAAUGACUCUCUAAAAGCCAUGAGAAUUUCAAUUGAUGAGUGUAAAGAAAGAACCGCUAGGAUGCGUGCUUCCAAAGAUGCCUUUAUUAAAGCGUGUUCUUCCAAUACCUAUGAAAAUCAAGAUUAAGAUCUAAAAUUUAUUGAUGUGUCUCCAAUUAAAUCUUUAUUUUGCAAUAUGAACCUUGAUGAAACUGAAUAUGAUCUUCCUUUACCUAGAAGGCGUUCUAAAAAUUCGGAGUGUUUAGAUCUUAAUGAUGAAAUUGAUGAAAGUGGGAUUGAAAGAAAUAAAAAUCUAGAAGUUGCUAAACCCACUAUAUUGGAUUUAAAGGAAUUUAAUUAUGAAAUUUGCUAUUUGAUUGAUUGUAUUUCCUUGUUGCAAUCCGUGCUAAAUUCUCCACAUGCUUAUAGUCGAAAUAAAGCCUUCACCGAACAUAUUGUUGAUGCCUUGAUGGAAUCUUAUGAAGAAAAACUUGAGUUGAAAGUUUCUAACCCUAGAAAGCUCUAUGAUGAGUGGGAACCAACUAUUAAAAUUAAAAUUAAAGAUCAUGAGUUUUAUGCUUUGUGUGAUUUGGGUUCUAGUGUCUCUACUAUUCCCAAGACUUUGUGUGAUUUACUAGAUUUCCGUAAUUUUGAUGAUUGCUCUCUAAACUUGCAUCUUGCGGAUUCCACUAUUAAGAAACCUAUGGGAAGAAUUAAUGAUGUUCUUAUUGUUGCAAAUAGGAAUUAUGUGCCUGUAGAUUUCAUUGUUCUUGAUAUAGAUUGCAAUCCUUCUUGCCCUAUUAUUCUUGGUAGACAUUUGCUUAGAACGGUUGGUGCGAUUAUUGAUAUGAAGGAGGGGAAUAUUAGAUUUCAAUUUCCAUUAAAAAAGGGCAUGGAACACUUUCCAAGAAAGAAAACAAAAUUACCAUAUGAAACCAUCAUGAGAGCCACUUAUGGAUUGCCUACCAAAGAUGGCAAUACCUAGAUCUAUCCUUGCUUGUUAUGCCUAGCUAGAGGCGUUAAACGAUAGCGCUUGUUGGGAGGCAACCCAAUUUUAUUUUUAUUCCUUGCUUUUUGCUCCUGUUUAGUAAUAAAUAAAUUAUUUAGACUCUGUUUUUGUUGUGUUUUUUUGUGUUUAAUUAGUGUUUGUGCCAAGUAGAACCGUUGGGAAGACCUGGGGAAAGUCUUGUUGAACUUGCUGUAAAAAACAGAAACUUUAGCACUCACGAGAACUGCUGUCAUUUUUAUUUGAAGAGUGCUAUUUAGUUAAUUAUUUUUUGCAUAUGAUUAAUAGAUAAAUUCCUCACGUCUAGCAAUUUAUUUUAGAAUUUUUGGGGUCCCAGAUCUUGCGCUAGAUACAGAUUACUACAGACUGUUCUGUUUUUGACAGAUUCUGUUUUUCGUGUGUUGUUUACUUAUUUUGAUGAAUCUAUGGCUAGUAAAAUAGUUUAUAAUCCAUAGAGAAGUUGUAAUACAGUAGGUUUAACACCAAUAUAAAUAAAGAAUGAGUUCAUUACAGUACCUUGAAGUGGUCUUUUGUUUUCUUUGGCUAAUGGAGCACACGAGUUUUCUAUUUUGACUUUUGUGUUGUGAAGUUUUCAAGUUUUGGGUGAAUUCUUUUGAUUGAUCAUGGAAAAAGGAGUGGCAAGAGCCUAAGCUUGGGGAUGCCCAUGGCACCCCCAAGAUAAUCCAAUGACACCAAAAAGUCAAAGCUUGGGGAUGCCCCGGAAGGCAUCCCCUCUUUUCGUCCACUUCCAUCGGUAAUUUACUUGGAGCUAUAUUUUUUUCACCAACAUGAUAUGUGUUUUGCUUGGAGCGUCUUGUAUUAUUUGUGUCUUUGUUUGUUAGUAUGCCACAAUCAUCCUUGCUGUACACACCUUUUGAGAGAGCCAUACAUGAAUUAAAAUUUGAUAGAAUACUCUAUGUGCUUCACUUAUAUCCUUUGUGAAGGAAAUAUGCCCUAGAGGCAAUAAUAAAGUUAUUAUUUAUUUCCUUAUAUCAUGAUAAAUGUUUAUUAUUCAUGCUAGAAUUGUAUUAACCGGAAACAUAAUACAUGUGUGAAUACAUAGACAAAAACAAAGAGUCACUAGUAUGCCUCUACUUGACUAGCUCGUUAAUCAAAGAUGGUUAUGUUGCCUAACCAUAGACAUGAGUUUUCAUUUGAUUAAUGGGAUCACAUUAUUAGGAUAAUGAUGUGAUUGACUUGACCCAUUCCGUUAGCUUAGCACUUGAUCGUUUAGUUUGUUGCUAUUGCUUUCUUCAUAACUUAUACAUGUUCCUAUGACUGUGAUAUUAUGCAACUCCCGUUUACCGGAGGAACACUUUGUGUGCUACCAAACGUCACAACAUAACUGGGUGAUUAUAAAAGUGCUCUACAGGUGUCUCCGAAGGUACUUGUUGGGUUGGCGUAUUUCGAGAUCACUCCGAUUGUCGGAGAGGUAUCUCUGGGCCCUCUCGGUAAUGCACAUCACUCAAGCCUUGCAAGCAUUGGUUGCAGGAUGAUGUGUUAUGGAAUGAGUAAAGAGACUUGCCGGUAACGAGAUUUAACUAGGUAUUGAGAUACCGACGAUCGAAUCUCGGGCAAGUAACAUACCGAUGACAAAGGGAAGAACGUAUGUUGUUAUGCGGUCUGACCGAUAAAGAUCUUCGUAGAAUAUGUAGGAGCCAAUAUGAGCAUCCAGGUUCCACUAUUGGUUAUUGACCAGAGACGUGUCUCGGUCAUGUCUACAUAGUUUUCGAACCCGUAGGGUCCGCACGCUUAAAGUUCGGUGACGAUCGUAAUUAGGGUUUUUGUGUUUUGAUGUACUGAAGGUUGUCCGAAGUCCCGGAUGUGAUCACGGACAUGACGAGGAGUCUCUAAAUGGUCGAGACAUAAAGAUUGAUAUAUUGGAAGCCUAUAUUUGGAUAUCGGAAACAUUCCGGGUGAAAUCAGGAUUUUACCGGAGUACCGGGGGUUACCGGACCCCCCCCCCCCGGGGUUAUUGGGCCUACAUGGGCCAUAAGGGAGAAGAGGAGGGCCGGCCAGGGAAGGCCGCGCGCCCCCACCCCCCUAGUCUGAAUAGGACAAGGAAGGGGGGCGGCGCCCCCCUUUCCUAUUUCUCCCUUCCUCCUUCCUUUUCCAACAAGGCAAGAGGGGGGAGUCCUACACCCGGUUGGAGUACGAGUCCUCCAGGUGCACCCAUUGGGCCGGCCGCACCUCCCCCUCUCCCUCCUUUAUAUACUGAGGCAAGGGGGCACCCCAUGACACACAAGUUGAUCCUCGUGAUCGUUCCUUAGCCGUGUGCGGUGCCCCCUUCCACCAUAUUAACCUCGGUCAUAUCGUAGCGGUGCUUAGGCGAAGCCCUGCGUCGGUAGAACAUCAUCACCGUCAUCACGCCGUCAUGCUGACGAAACUCUCCCUCAAUGUUUUGCUGGAUCAGAACUCGAGGGACGUCACCGAGUUGAACGUGUGCAGAACUCGGAGGUGUCGUACGUUCGGUACUUGGAUCGGUCGGAUCGGGAAGACGUACGACUACUUCCUCUACGUUGUGUCAACACUUCCAUUGCCGAUCUAUGAGGGUACAUAGACAACACUCUCCCCUCUCGUUGCUAUGCAUCACCAUGAUCUUGUGUGUGCGUAGGAAUUUUUUUGAAAUUACUACGUUCCCCAAUACUUUGAGCUAGAUAAUUUUGCUCUAUGUGCUUCACUUAUAUCUUUUGAGCUAGAUAAUUUGCUCUAUGUGCUUCACUUAUAUCUUUUGAGCUAGAUAAUUUUGCUCUAUGUGCUUCACUUAGAUCUUUUAGAGCACGGUGGUGGAUUCUUUUUAAAGAAACUAUUGAUCUCUCAUGCUUCACUUAAAAUAAUUUUGAGAGUCUCUUAAUAGCAUGGUAAUUUUCCUAAUAAUAAUAUGCUUGUUAUUCAAGAUUUGUGAAGCUUUCUUUUGAGUGUGUUGAAUACUAAGAAAAGAUUGAAGCAUGAUAACUGUUUUGAGAUAUGGAGGUGAUAAUAUUAAAGUCAUGCUAGUUGAGUAGUUGUGAAUUUGAAGAAUACUUGUGUUGAAGUUUGUGAUUCCCGUAGCAUGCAUGUAUGGUGAACCGUUAUGUGAUGAAGUCGGAGCAUGAUUUAUUUGUUGAUUGUCUUCCUUAUGAGUGGCGGUCGGGGACGAGCGAUGGUCUUUUCCUACCAAUCUAUCCCCCUAGGAACAUGCGUGUAAUACUUUGCUUUGAUAACUUCUAAGUUUUUGCAAUAAGUAUAUGAGUUCUUUAUGACUAAUGUUGAGUCCAUGGAUUAUACGCACUCUCACCCUUCCACCUUUGCUAGCCUCUCUCAUACCGCACAACUUUCGCCGGUAUCAUACACCUACCAUAUACCUUCCUCAAAACAGCCACCAUACCUACCUAUUAUGGCAUUUCCAUAGCCAUUCCGAGAUAUAUUGCCAUGCAACUUUCCACCAUCUAGUUCAUCAUGACACAUCCAUCAUUGUCAUAUUGCUUAGCAUGAUCAUGUAGUUGACACAGUAUUUGUGGCAAAGCCAUCGUUCAUAAUUCUUUCAUACUUGUCACUCGUGAUUCAUUGCAUAUCCCGGUACACCGCCGGAGGCAUCCAUAUAGAGUCAUACUUUGUUUUAGUAUCGAGUUGUAAUCACUGAGUUGUAAAUAAAUAGAAGUGUGAUGAUCAUCAUUCAAUAGAGCAUUGUCCCAAAAAAAAGGGGGGGAAAGGCCAAAGAAAAAAAGAAGGCCCAAAGAAAAGGGGACAAUACUACUAUCCUUUUUUCCACACUUGUGCUUCAAACUAGCACCAUGAUAUAGCAAGUCUCAUAUAUUGUGUUUCAAAGUAGCACCAUGUUCUUCAUAUAGAGAGUCUCAUAUGUUGUCACUUUCAUAUACUAGUGGGAAUUUUACGUUAUAGAACUUGGCUUGUAUAUUCCAAUGAUGGGCUUCCUCAAAUUGCCCUAGGUCUUCGUGAGCAAGCAAGUUGGAUGCACACCCACUAGUUUCUUUUGUUGAGCUUUCAUACAUUUAUAGCUCUAGUGCAUCCGUUGCAUGGCAAUCCCUACUCACUCACAUUGAUAUCUAUUGAUGGGCAUCUCCAUAGCCCGUUGAUACGCCUAGUUGAUGUGAGGCUAUCUUCUCCUUUUUGUCUUCUCCACAACCACCAUUCUAUUCCACCUAUAGUGAUAUAUCCAUGGCUCACGCUCAUGUAUUGCGUGAAGAUUGAAAAAGUUUUGAAAAAGUUAGAGUAUAAAACAAUUGCUUGGCUUGUCAUCGGGGUUGUGCAUGAUUUAAAUACUUUGUGUGGGGAAGAUGGAGCAUAGCCAGACUAUAUGAUUUUGUAGGGAUAACUUUCUUUGGCCAUGUUAUUUUGAGAAGACAUAAUUGCUUUGUUAGUAUGCUUGAAGUAUUAUUAUUUUCUAUGUCAAUAUAAACUUUUGUCUUGAAUCUUUAUAAUAUGAAUAUUCAUACCACAAUUAAGAAUAUUUGCAUUGAAAUUAUGCCAAGUAGCACUCCGCAUCAAAAAUUCUCUUUUUAUCAUUUACCUACUCGAGGACGAGCAGGAAUUAAGCUUGGGGAUGCCUGAUACGUCUCCAACGUAUCUAUAAUUUUUGAUUGCUCCAUGCUAUAUUAUGUACUGUUUUGGACUAUAUUGGGCUUUAUUUUCCACUUUUAUAUUAUUUUGGGACUAACCUAUUAACCGGAGCCCCAGCCCAGAAUUGCUAUUUUUUUGCCUAUUUCAGUGUUUCGGAUAAACAGAAUAUCAAACGGAGUCCAAACGGAAUAAAAUCUUCGGAAACAUGAUUUUCUCACCGAACAUGAUCCAGGAGACUUGGACCCUACUGCAAGGGAUCAAAGAGGUGGUCACGAGGGUGGGGGGCGCGCCCCUGCCUCGUGGGCCCCUCGGUGCUCCACCGACGUACUCCUUCCUCCUAUAUAUACACACGUAGCCCCAAAUGAUCAGAACAGGAGCCAAAAACCUAAUUCCACCGCCGCAACUUUCUGUAUCCACGAGAUCCCAUCUUGGGGCCUGUUCCGGAGCUCCGCCGGAAGAGGGCCGUCAUCACGGAGUGCUUCUACAUCAUCCUAGCCCCUCCGAUGAAGUGUGAGUAGUUUACCUCAGACCUUCGGGUCCGUAGUUAGUAGCUAGAUGGCUUCUUCUCUCUCUUUGAAUCUCAAUACAAAUUUCUCCCCCUCUCUUGUGGACAUUUAUUCGAUGUAAUCUUCUUUUUGCGGUGUGUUUGUUGAGACUGAUGAAUUGUGGGUUUAUGAUCAAGUCUAUCUAUGAAUAAUAUUUGAAUCUUCUCUGAAUUCUUUUAUGCAUGAUUGGUUAUCUUUGCAAGUCUCUUCAAAUUAUCCGUUUGGUUUGGCCAACUAGAUUGGUAGUUCUUUCCAUGGGAGAAGUGCUUAGCUUUGGGUUCGAUCUUGCGGUGUCCUUACCCAGUGACAGAAGGGGCAGCAAGGCACGUAUUGUAUCGUUGCCAUCGAGGAUAACAAGAUGGGGUUUAUUUCAUAUUGCAUGAAUUUAUCUCUCUACAUCAUGUCAUCUUGCUUAAGGCGUUACUAUGUUUUUAACUUAAUACUCUAGAUGCAUGCUGGAUAGCGAUCGAUGAGUGGAGUAAUAGUAGUAGAUGCAGAAUCGUUUCGAUCUACUUGUCAUGGACGUGAUGCCUAUAUACAUGAUCAUGCCUAGAUAUUCUCAUAAUUAUGCUCAAUUUUAUCAAUUUCUCAACAGUAAUUUGUUCACCACCGUAGAAUACUUAUGCUCUUGAGAGAAGCCACUAGUGAAACCUAUGUCCCCCGGGUCUAUUCUCAUCAUAUCAAUCUCCAUCACUUUUAUAUUGUUUUGCUAUUUACUUUGCCUUUACUUUUUACUUUGCAUCUUUAUACCAAAAAUACCAAAAAUAUUCUAUCUAUCAGAUCUCACUCUCGUAAGUGACCAUGAAGGGCUUGACAAGCCCUAAUCGCGUUGGUUGCGAGUAGCUAUCGCUUUGUGCAGGUACGAGGGACUUGAGCGUGGGCUCCUACUGGAUUGAUACCUUGGUUCUCAAAAACUGAGGGAAAUACUUACGCUACUCUACUGCAUCAUCCCUUCCUCUUCGGGGAAAACCAACACAAGCUCAAGACGUAGCACGUGCUGCUACUGAAGAAUUUCAAAGUUGAUUUGGACCAGCUCUCCUUGCCGAGAAAGUUCUAUUUUGACAUCAUCCCCUACCGCAAGAUAUGAUUUAGACUUGAACCUUGACCAUCCUUUAGCAUCAAUCAUCAUGUGACCAUCCUUUGUACUUAUGAUAUAUUGAGCAGGUUCAUUCACACCAAGGCUGCGCAUGGUAAGAGAAACUUGGCCGCGGUCGCCCGGAUUGUUGAACGACUCCCUCGUUGCUCUAGGAAUUCUCUGUUUGCAAACAAGAAGACAUACCCAAAUACUUAGAUCAACACAUUGAAUCAUGUGAAACAACAUGGAAAGAAAAAAGAACGAAGCACUUGGGCGGCCAAUGCUUACCAAGAAGGUGGACAUGUCGGUUUUUGUAAGGACUUUGGUAUAUGAAGUGUGAACUGCAGCCCAGUCUGUUGCCGGUGCAACUGCAUGGGCCGAAGCAGAUGCAAGUGCAAGUGUUGGUGCAGGUGCGGAAGCCGUUGCUGCUGCCGGAGAUGGUGCUCCUUGUAGAGCUAGUGUCGGUGUCGAAGUAGGUGCCGGUGUCGACGCCCGAUCCUCCGGUAGAUCAGACUGAUCCGCUGACGCGGUCGGUGCCCAAUCCUCAGCUGGAUCAGACUGAGCUGCUGCCGCUGUCAGUGAUAGAGAAAUUGUCGGUGCUCGAUCUGUUAUGAUCAGUUUUCUAACUUGACAUCCGUGACCGUGAUCCAGUUUUUUUCUUCAUUUCUUUUAAACGCGAGAAGGACUAAUUGUGGCGUUUUUGUUAAACCAAACUGCAGUUCAUCAUAGGGAUUCAGCUUGUACUCAGACAACAGACUGAUCCAAUUUUUUCCAGUAAUAUAAGUGAUGGACAGUGCCUUCGUUACUGACAUGACAUAAGAAGUGAAACCUGCAAAAAUAGCCAUCGUAGAGCAAACCAAACGGUUUAUUCUGUGAUGAAUGUCACAUGGCAAAACCUGCAUCAUAAAAUUGCAGGAAAAGAAAGAAAACAUGGCAUUAAAUCAAUAAGAUUUAGACAGUAAAUCAAUAAGAUUUACUUGAUGUGACACGAGUGAAUCCUUACCAGGAAAUCACUAUGUUGAAGUACUAAAUAGAAGAUUGAUCAUUCAACUACGCAUGGCAUGCAGGGGCCCCACCUACUCCCACAAGCAGGACAGUCCAAAGGUCGUGACAAAUCAUAUGGACCGAACAUCCAUGGGGCUGGAAAUCCUGAUGGGUGCGAUAAACCCUGCAAUGCAUACAGAUAUUGGAGUGUAACCAUAAUUGAUAGACCGUCCUCACAAAAAAUAUGAUAUGGAUACUUCAAAAUAUACAGACUGAAUUGAGUGGACAGACAUUAACAUAGACCAUUCUCAGGACUGACCACACACCAAAAGCGGCAGUACUAAUAAACAAUACAGGGUUCACAAACACAAAUCAAGUACUGAACAAUAGUACUUACUACAGACAAGCAAAGUUGCACUAACUAAACUCUGCAGACUAUUUUUUGCCACCGACCUACGGGAUGAACCCCGCAUAACUAACUAGGCCAUGGACUUCGUGUGAGAUGUCUACAUGCACCAUCACCAUCUUGUCAACCUUGGAGAACCUAAUAGAGUGGUCUUUCCACUCAUAAACAUGAUGAUGAAGACAGGCCGCAUCAAAUUUGUUGGGAAGCUUUACAAGAACCACACCCUUCGUAAUCGAAGGCACAACCAGGAAAUUGUUGUGGUCAAGUACAGCCUCGAGAACACGCCUGACAACAAUGCUACAGGAAAACACUAGUUCAGGACACGUGGCGAAAAGGACACAACAGCUGGAUAGUUCAGCAGUAGAACUCAUCAUCAGGUCUUCCAGUUCACACGGCAUGACUUUGAGAACUUCAUCUCCACCGCGGACCUGGUUCUAAUUCAAACAGAAACCAUAUUUUAUUACUACCUCUGUUCAGAAAUAUAAGAUGAUUUUCGAUAUUAUACUCCAUAUAUGACUACAUAUACGCACAGAAAUGAGUGAACAAAGACACUAGAACAUGUCUUCAAAGGCAUGAGAGUAGAGGGAUUACAUACAAUAUCCAUAACACAAGUUACUGAGGAAAAUAUACCCUCUUAAAAGGUAGCAUUGAUGUUCAUAAAGUACUCCCUCCGUCCCAAAAUUCUUGUCUUAGAUUUGUCUAGAUACGGAUGUAUCAAGUCACAUUUUAGUAUUAGAUACAUCCGUAUCUAGACAAAUCUAAGACAAGAAAUUUGGGACAGAGGGAGUAGUUGAAAGUAAUCUAUAAGAAAUCAGUGUCAACCUCUCGCAUGUUUUGGUCAAAAGAGGAAUUUAGAACCGUCAUUUGGCACACAAAAAUCACAUGCAAGAUCACCCAGAAAGUUGUACUACUAGUACUAGUACUACGUGUUAGAUGAAAAAACACGAUCAAGAUCGAGAAAAAGAUCGUCAAGAAGAGAUAUUAUCUGGACUUGCUUAAUGAGGGAUCCCGGAGAGGGGGGCUUGGACAGGGCGAUGGCUUUGAGCUUGUCUGUGGUAGUCUCGGCAGGGUGCUUGCGCUUCUUCGUACCAUGAGCCUCGACGGUUUUGGCCGGAGCCAUAGACAUCACUUCGGCCGGUGCUCCAGCGUCCAUCAAGAAACUACCAAAUAGAAAUAAAAGAAAAGAAACCAUAAUCACAAACCCAAAAGAAGAAAAGAGAGGGAGUUAUAGGAUCAGUCUCGGGGUUGCAAGACCGGGCCUUGGCCAGAAUCAACACCAUUGAUGCGCUCACCUUUCUUUCCUUGGGAGAGAAGAACAAUGGCAGAAGCAGGUCGGGGUUUUCUUGAAGAAAUGAGGAAAAAGAUGAGGCAGAAGCGAGGGUUGGGUAGAGAGGAAGCUGAGAGAGAAGAGUGAAAUGAUGGUUGCUUCGUCCGUCCAACUUACUGCUGGAAAGGAGGGGGUUUUGUGAUUUGACGGCUCAUUGGGCAUUACUGCGGCGCUUCGAUAGGGGUAGUCUACCAUCACUCUACUACGAAAUAAUUUAGUGCAUGGCUAGUGAACCCCGAUGCUGGCUGUCCCACACGUCGGCGAAAGUGAGUAAUUUGGUGCAUGGCUGGAGGAGGAUCCGCACGGUAGAGCAUGUCCAUUGUUUUUCAGAAGAAAAAAUGAUUACAGCAAGCAUUUCCACUCUUACGACGGAGGAGUGCGAAACACGGCAGCCGCUUGAACAUACACAGUGCUCCUACUACUAGGCAUGUGCAGUGGUUCAUACGUCAGUACUACACAAUCUUGUUGCUAGUGUAGUAAGAUAUGACGAUAACAAAUGAUGUUGUGCGCAUGUCAACUACUCCUAUAUGUAACAUAGUACUGCUUUUUACUGUCCAGUCGAGAAUGGACGGUGAGAUCAAUGUUAACAAAACUAGGCCCACAGCGCAUGGAGAGUACGGUGCUACAGUACUCCACGAAACAUGAACCAUAUGAAGCAUGAAUAGUGUUAGGCAGGGUGUAUGAAGGGUGCACGGGAUGGGAGCAAAAGUUCCCUUCUCGACUCACUUUUGGGUGUUUGGCAGAGUGCAUGAAGGGUGCAUGCGUCCACACUAGUAGGUUGACAAAAACACACGAAGAGGAAACAACUAUAUUGAGAUGAGAAUGCAACCAAACACACCCACAUGCUUUGUGCUACAGUGACUGAUCUGCACCGUCUGAGUUUGAUCCAAUGGUCAUGUUGCACCGAGACAUGGACAUGCCCAUGCAGAGGGCGCCUAAACACCACCGAAGUCCCUCUGCUUCUCGAGGCACAAGACGUUGGUGAUGCAGGGUGCAACCGCCCGCAGAGCCCACUCCCGGUCGACGGGAGCCAGCUCGUCAAAGACGGCGUCCAAUGGCACGAAUGGAUUCCGGUGACGGAGCCCUGAAAGGAUUCGCCCAGCAACGGCGACGGCAGCCUGCAACCCCUCCUUGUCCAGCUCAGCCCCCACCAUCGCACGGAGACGGCUCAGCUCCUCGAAGAUAUAGGUGAUGAAGGAGACCAGGUAAGUAAGCCGCAGCUCGUUGAAGUCGACUGGGUGGUCGAACGGGUUUAGCCCGACGGCCGGCAUCGUCGCGCUGGCACGACGGUAGGCAUCGCGCAGCCGCAACACGUGCGUGGCAACUUGGUUCACCAAGUGGCUGAGGCGAUCCUGGACCUCGUCACGAUCGGCCCGCUCGCGCUCCAACCAGCUCCCCUGACGGCCUAUCAUAUCUCGAGCUUUCUGCAGCAACGCCGCCGACGCCUCGAGCAUCUUUGUGGUGGACGCCUGCCACUUUUGAAGCUCCGUGAACUCCCGCACAUAACGGAGGAGCAUGGCACUUCUCUCCUCCUUGAGCUCAUGGAGCUCCACGUCCUUGGCCCUGAGCUCCGCAUCCUUGGCAUGGAGCUCCUGUGUCAGGAGCCUCAUCUCGGACUUCGUGAUCUGCUGCGCCGCCAUGGCACCAGGUAGAAGCAAUGGGGAGAGGAAGCAAAGGGGGCGAAACGACUGAAAGGCAAUGCAAUCUAUGGGAAGGUGGAGGGAGCGGGGAAUCUUUUGGUUUUCACCACGGUAAAACACCAGUUGACGACUUCUCACAUCAGGCAGCAGUGGGUACAUGCGGAGUCAUCGUGACUAAUUGCUGCCGCGCCUGCUCCCGUUAAUCAAAAAAUUAAAAAUCCUGUCACGCCUGCUCCCAUCAAUCAAAAAAUUAAAAAUCCUGCCGCACCCAAACACCAGAGCAACGCUGCGGUGGAUAUUUAAAUUUACCUGCCGGCAAGUAGAUAAAAAAGGGUGAAAAACAAAUGUGGCGGCGGCCUAGCUAAUCGGUCGAACUAGCCCAACUAGGUAGCCACCGUGCUUCACUGAUGUACUCGGCGGGAAAGGUGGUCUUUCGUGAUUUGACGACUCAUUUACUUGCUUCGGCGCUACGACCGAGGAGGACCCAGAAAACGUGCGGUAGGGCGUCCCACGUCAGGAAGAAUAUAUGCGUGCACCACCCGGGAGGACCCCGAAACCGCGCGGUAGGGUGUGCCACGUCUCGACAUGGAGGAAAAAUGUGCGUGUAAAAAUAUGCUGUAUCAGACGUAGUAGAGUACCUAUGGUUCGACCUCGGGACCCAGCCAGUCGGUUGAAAACACCCCACUAGCCACACAGCUUCAUCAAGCAAACGUGGCACGGAGGAUAGAUGUGGUUAGCUCCGUCUCGACUAGCCACAACGUCUCUUGUUCUAGGCGAUUCUUCUAUUUUCCAAGUUUUUUUAGUUGUAAUAACACCAAAGCAAGCUAGCGCCACUCUUCGUGUGUGCCCGUGCAAAGGUUAGACGAUGGAGAGAAGAGAGAUUGAGAUCGCAGACCUGGGACCCACCAAUAAGUGAGAUAACGGUCAUGCAUGUGUUGACGAGGCACUCCCUCUACUCUACUCAACGCAAGUACUGUAUAAAAUCAAGUUAUGGGACAAAGCCAACAACCAUUCAUUUUCUAGGAUAUCGACUUACGCUUUGUAGUCCAUGUUGCAAGUUGGAAUCUCGUCUUUCAGAUUUGUUAGUUUUAGGUCCAAAUUUGAUUAAUGACAAGUGGGACCCCUGUGUGUUGUUCCGAUAUUUCAGUGUAGGAUGGUUUUUUUGAACAAACACUUUGCGCGGUUAGACAAGUAACGGCAUGAGUUACACGUUUUUUGCAAGUUUACGAACAAAAAUGACAGCGGCAUAGAAUAUCACAUCCACCCCGCAGCUUAGAUACUAUGGUCAUACGAGUUUUUACACCGUUGGAAGUGAGAUCCAAUGGCUUGGGAGUAGUAUUUGUAAUUAUGCGCAAUUUCCAGACUCUCCAAAGGUUUUUUUGCAAAUAAAACAUUCAGGCCUCGUGUGUGCCGCUGCAUCUUUGAUCCAACGGCUCCCCAGUGCUCAUAUUAGGUGCUCCCCGUAGCUUAAUUACCCGCUACGGUGAUUGGAGUAGUUGUGGGCCGAAUGCUACAAAAAUAUAAUCGGAACCGACCGGAAUAGAUGCCUACACAAAUUAAUCCAAGGUUGGAGUGCCCCUCGCAAUGUAAAUAGCUCCGACUUUGCGAGGGAUGGAGAGGUAGUAUCUUCAACGCGUGGAAGAUAAAGUGUGAGAAAGCAAGGUCAAUCGAGAGACAUAUAGAUAGAGAGACAAAGUGAGUGUGGUCCGACAUUCAUUGAACAAAUAUAUAUGCUCUGGAGAGAUAUUGUCCGAUUGAGCUUUUUGGCAAGGGUGAGGGCUGUAAGAUAGAGCUUGAGAGAUGAUCCAAUCACAGACGUGUAGAUAUAUUUUGUGCGUGGGAGGAAGCAAGGUCAACCGAUCACAUAGGGUCGCCGUGCGAUCGAAAGAGUGAGACGGGUUGGAGAGAGUGACCUAGAUAGACAAUGUGCGUGAGAGAGUAUACAAUGUGAAUAGGUCGAAUUGGGCUCAACAUGGUGAUAUAUCGUUUUUGUCCGAGAAAGAGCGAGGUCAAUCGAGACAUACGGGGAGAGCGAGCGAGAGAGAGAGAGAGAGAGAGAGAGAGAGAUUGAGUGAGCGUGGCCCACCAUGAGGUCGAAAGAGUGGUGGCGGCUUGGAUGGACUGACCUAGAUAGACAAUCUGCGUGAGAGAGUAUAGAGUGUGUCGAUUGAGGCCCGAAUAGGGAGAUAUAUCAUUUGUGUGUGAAAGAAAACGAGGUUAAACGAGACUCAGAUAAAGAGAGCGAGAUUGAGCGAGUGUGGCCCGCCGUGUGGAAGAAAGAGUGAGACAGUCUCGAGGGAGUGACCUAGAUAUACAACGUGCGUGCGUGCGCAUGCACGAGAGGUUGGGGGGCUAGAUAGGCAAUGCAUGUAUUUAGCACGAGAGGGUGAGAGGGAGAGGGGGGAGAGAGAGAGCUCGGCAUGGGGUGCAAUGGCGGGUGUGUGAGGUAAAUACAUUUGGUAAUAGAGUGGAAAAAUGGGUUGUGUAGUUGAGAGACUUAGAGAUCGAAACAUGGAGAGAAAGAAUGAAUGUGUGUUGGAAACCGAUAGCUUCCUAAGGUCGUUAGGAGAGGAAGAUUGACCGAUACAGGAAGUAUGUAGCGUUUGUGCGGGGGGGGGGCGCUAAAAACAACAUUUGAAUGUACAUAGUAUGAGACUUAAUAUCGAUGUUUCAAUUCGGUGUACAUUGUAAGAUUUGAAUCGAGGACCAGGCAUACGGGUAAUUAUUUCGAAUUCGUGCCAUACUAAGUUUCGAAAAGUUGACAUUGACUCAGUUUGUUGUGCUAUUUUGUAGGUCAUAUGUUUGAAUCCAUCCAAAAGUUUUCUCACUACCAUUAUGUUCAUCAUAUACAUAUGAAUUUGUAUUAAAAAAGUAGCAUGGAUAUAGUGAAAUGCGAAAUCCACAUUAGAAUUGGAGAUCGCUACAUGACACACACACACUCUAAUUCAAAUAACUAACUACGUGACACACACUCUAAUUCAAAUAACUAAUUAUGUGACACACACUCUAAUCCAUGUUAGCGUGGGUACCGUUUCGAUUUUUUUCAAAUAACUCCUCAUUAAUUAAUUUAUAGUACUCCCUCUGUUCACUUUUAUAAGACCUUGAAGACAUUUCAGACAAUGUGCAAAACAUUUCAUUUUAAGUUGUCUGAAACGACUUACAAAAGUGAACGGAUGGAGUAUCUCAUUUCGAAUGACUAAUUAUUGCAAGGAAAACACGGGCAUGGUAAUACAUACAGAUUCGUUUGCAAAUGAAAGAAGAUUCGUUUGCACUCUCAAAUGUAGACGCACCAGGCAAACCAGGGUCGUGUCGGGGUGGACGCUGCUUCCAUGCCUUAAAGGCAACUACCUUUGGGUCACUGACAUGUUGGCCAGCCACCUGUUGGGCCCAUAUGUCAUGGACACAAAGGCACCGAAGCAUAGUCCUGUCGGGGUGGUCGCGUGUGUCGGACGGAUGCGUAGCACCCAGCCACCCACCCCCCUCCCCCCCAAAAAGGAUGACGACAAUAUAAGUUCGUGCUUCCAUGUUUCAGAUUGAAAUAUCUGGCGGCCCCAAUUCCAGCCCUGCAAAAUCUCUCUUCUCCACCGUCCCCUUCCGCGCCCAGAUUGCUCAAAUCCCUAGUUCGUCGCCAACCCUCGAAUCACCCCUCAUCUCGUCUCUUUCCCCACCGUUCCCCACCUUUGUGCCGGACAACGAUGACAAAGACGACGGUUGCGCUUCACCACCGCACCGGAGCUACCUCAUCUACGCCAUCGUCCACCGCGCCGGGUGGUCCACCGACAACGUCGGCCGCCGCAACCGACGUGCCUCACAGACACCGAGUUCCACCGCAUCAGGUGCGCUUCACCGACGCCGUCUCCCAGCUCAUCGAGGCUACUUCACCGAGCACAUCGUCGCACCUCCACCCCCCGAGGCCAUUGGGGCUUCACCAACGGUCUCGUCCACCGCAUCGUAGCGCUCCGCUGCCACUCAAGAUCUACAUCCGUGCGCGGCCAGCCAACACCAGCACAUCACCCUCAACAUCUCUAAAGUGACCCGGACUCUUUCUAGGCGAGCAUGCCCAAACAUCGGCCCGAACUAGGCAUCCACACAUCACUCCCUUGUGCACUAUUCCGACGAUGUUUGGAUAUCCUUUCACUGCUCUCUUAGCUUACACGCCUAUGCAACUCUGACCUUAACUCUUAUUUCUUCUGGAGAUAUCAUCUGAAACAAGCAAAUCCAUAUUUUAGCGAAGCAUGACGGCGCUACGGGAUCUGGUACACAUCCUGCACACCCGUAUAACACUGUAAGUAUCUGCCCUCCGGUACAACAUCAAGGUCGAUUCCUCUUAUUUGAUCAACCAUUCGCCGUGUCAAAAAUGCAGAGGGGGAUGCAAGGAGCACAAGGCCUGCACAUCCAAGCAAGUGGUAACAUGGACUUGUACAUGGAACAUCCCAAGUGCAAGCAGAGCUGCAGUGAGCCUGUACAACGAGCUAGCGUAAGUCCCUGCAUUUCAUUUAAUUCGUACUGGCAUUCGUGUAUGAUUUGUGUGCAGUGGAUGAUCCACGAAUUCAAGUUACCAGGGGCGAACAUUUAACUUGAAAAUUACGAAGGCACUUGCACUCCGGAAAUCAACAUAACUUGAGAAAUGUGAAGCUACAUGCACUUUGAAAACCAGCUAAUGAUCCAAAGUAGUUCAGAUUAUAAACACUAAAUGAUGCAAGCAACAAAAACACAAAAUGCAACAUGGUGUACAAGGACUACAAACAUGGUCUGUACCUGCCUGAAUUAUUCGUUCUCUAGCUGAAAAUAUCGAAGUCUAAUUGCACGUAUAACCAGUGUGCAAACUGCAUAUCAAUAUAUCUAUCCUGCAAAAGUAUGCCAAUAGUUUCAAACAACAAAUUAGAAAAGUAUUUAUGCUAUGUUGUCAUGAUACGGGGACUUUCUGGUAGAUGGCCUCGACGUUUCCUCAAGCUAUGAAAAUGCACUAUAAUUUGCUUGUCAUCAAUGCCUGCAAAUCUCUGUCUCUCUCAACAUAGUAGAUCACCAUUAGACACUAAAUCCUUCAAUGAGCUUGCAAAAUGCUUGCAUUAGAUCCCUCAUUAGACACUAUAUGUUCAUCACCAGGAGCAUGUAAAAUGUUUGCAUCAAAUCCUUCAUUAGCAGUCUGUUCAUUAGACACUUCAGGCUCAAGAACAACAUGAGCUUGUAUGUUUGCACUGGAAACUUGAUUAGAUACAUCAGAUUCAGUCAGUUCAGUAUUGAUUGGGGGAGUUAUAAAGUAAGUAGAAAUUGGUUUCAUUUUCUCAUAGAUUCCCUACAUACAAGCAGUUUUACAACACCGUCGGGUUUAACUAUUGGCCAGAAAUUGAAGAGUUGAAUUAGAUAUAAUCAGGGAUGUGAUGUACCUGCUCGUUGCGCAUGCUACUCUUGCAAGCUGCGACUGUCCAUUUGCGCAAGCUCGAUGCCAUGCCCCUGCUGCCGCUGCUGCCUCCCACGUAGGCUACACCCAGGGUUGGAUCUUCAUCUACUUGUCCUUCCGUUCGCUUGAAGCCUGGCGACCGCCCUCCAACGAGGGCGCGAGGAAGUGUUGUGUCGGUCUGUCCAGCGGCGGCUGGGUUAGGAGCGAACCAGACUGGAGGCUAGAGCGAAUGAAUUGAGAUUUUUCCUGCUGUCGAUCGAUAUGGGAGGCGCUCGUUUGGGCCGCGAGCCUGCUAUAGGGCCUGCCUUGCACUUAUGUUAUUGGCCCAUCCAAAUUGAAACAUUUUUCUUCAUUUUUUACAUUGCCUGCUCGUGCGUUGGGACGAACAAAACUAGCAUGGGCCAACCUGGACAACUCAAACUAGGUGCACACUUUCCAGCAACCUGAGGCGGCCGCCCAUACCAGCCCAUAUGGUGGCGUCGCCCCUUUUUGCGUGUAUGAUUGGAUAAUGAAAAAUAUUCCAAUGGCGCUUUUGAUUUACCCACAGAAUGGUUGAAUUGCUUGUUUCUAUGAACUGAGUUCGCCAAUAAUGUGAAGGAUGCCAGUCUUUUCAUCCUAUUGUAGAUUGCUUAGAUCUCGAUAUGCCAAAAGUAAUCGCAUGAAAUAUACAGUAAAAGCCAGUGUGAUGUGUUUGGCUACAACUAGUCUGACUACACGUCCUCAUAUAACAUAUCAAGGACGCACCAUCUUACCAGAUUAACCAUUCGACUUACCCAUGCAGUGUGGGAAGAAAGAAGUAUUGGGACUGCGUAUCCAAGCAAUUGAUGCCAUGGAAUCCUUCGUACAACCUUGUAAGCGAAAAAGAAGUUGCAGUGUGCCUGUACAAAGAACUAGCAUAAGUUCAGUUACCUGCUUCUCGGAAUUUUAGUUAGCCACUUACUGCAAAAUUGUUCAAUUACGUUGCUUGGCUUAAUUUAGUUUGCUACUGAUUACAUAAUGGCACAGCCUGUUAAUCAUUGUAGACUGCGCCUAUCUAUGUGUUUGAUACUUACUGUUAAGAAUUACCUGUUUGCCUUAACUUAAAUAUCUACUUGUUUGUUUAACUACUUUGCUGCUGCAACAGCGGGUUACAAUGAUGUUAAUAACUACUUUUCAACAUCCAAUUGAAACUCUUUAAUUCCUUGUUUGUUUAACUGGUUUGCUGUUAUAACUCCCAGUUGAGAUGUUUUGCUAACUUCAACUUUUCUGAAUCCAAUCGGAACUUUAAUGGCAAAAUAGGUUAGCCCAAGAUCAAAGAGCGAGGUCCCCAUGGACGUUGCAUCAACCCACAGCAGUGGCACUGGCCCAAUCGUGCAUUAUGAAUUGCCAACUGCUGAUGCUCUAGAGGCUAAACUAGUGGUAGAAAGAGAUUCUGCUUCUGCACUUAGAGAUGAAGUUGACAUGUUGAGGAAGCAAACAGCACAAUCACAAGCAGUACUCAAGACAACCAUUAAAUAUUUGGUGGAUUUCAAAACGAAGGAAGCUAAGACUGACCAGAUUGUUAAGGUCCUGAAGGAAAAAAGGAAAUUAAAUUCCUACUUGGUAAAUCAUAGGUGAAAUGUUCUUUCCAUAGUUGAAUAACCUUUGUGUUGUCUGUUCAUGUAAUCAAUCAAACCAUUUGUUUUAGAGAUCAUGUAAUAAUUGUUUUUUUUUGUUUUUUUGUUUGUAAUUUUAUUUGAGCACAAGUCUGUAUUAAUUGAUAAGACUCGGAGACAUUUCAUUUGGAUUGUUGUGCCAGACCUACAAAUAUGCCAAUCGGGCUAAAUGUGCAUUCAGCAAUAGUAGUAUAGAUGGACCAUAAGUGGCACGCAUCGGAAAGGGCCAAGAUUCUGGCUAAAAAAAGGAUGUUGUUGUAGCCAAAAAAAGUACAGCGACCUGGCUUAUGUAUGUUAGUUGAUAUUAUUGAUCCAUAUACUCUAUAAGUGUUUAUAUGUCUGUUAGUUCCGUACAUUCUUGGUUGAUUGACUCGGUAUUUGAAUCUUGAUAUAUCGCUUGUGUACAUAUCUAAAUGGGAGUACACAUUAUGCUGUGUGUGACAUUUGAGUUGGACAUGAAGUGUUCCAAAUAUUCGAAUUCACCUUAAACUGGAUUCUAGUUUCUGAAUUUGAGUAUCAGCAUUUGUAAACCAUAUUCAUAUAUGACAGUGGAAUACAUCUUUGUCGUCCUUUUGAAGAUAUAUAGAAACACAUAGAAUGAUUUAUAAAGAUUCAUAUAGGAAUACAAAAUGGAUUCGAAUUUAGUUGCGAGGGUAAACGUGGAUGCUUAUUGUCCCAAAAUUGGAAAGAAACAACAAAAUGUCCACUCCCACAUCGGCUGCCUGAAGCCAAGUGUUUGGGAGAUAGAAAUUACUGUGUACCCAUUACACGGACAAUCCAUCGGCCCGAUUUCCACUGCUCUAAAUAGGGGUAGGUUAGUAACUUCAAUUAGAUGUGACACGACCGCCUCUGAGCCCAUUCCGACACGGUGGGCGUUAAACAUGGGCGGCAAAACUCAUUUGAUUCAAGCUCGUCCGAAAGACCUCUAUUUUUCCCUCCAUUCCCCAUUCAUACACGGUGGGCGGCAAACACCCUCUCCUCGUCCGAAAUAGAUGUAGGCUAAUAUUUUAAAUAGAGGCAGAUGUGUAACUUCCAUCAGACGUGACACAACCGCCCUACCUGUCAGCCCUGUUCAUACACCGUGGGCACCAACCGUGGGCGGCAAAACACCCUCUCCUCGCCCGAAAUAGUUACCGGCAAAUAUUUGGGAGAUGCGAGAUUACCGUCCUAUCCCCAACCGACGAGACGUCCAAAUUUGAAACGGGGGAUAAGUUCGUAACUUUCCCAUAUUUCAGAUAGGCGCGUCCCAAAAACAUGGUUCCCCGUACCUCUCCCUCCAUUUUACCAUUCAUACACCGUCUGCCCUAGAACACCCCAUUCCCACACCAGCCUCCGUUCGCCACCCCAUCCAUCACCGCCGUCCUCCACCACAUCCAUCGCCACCGUCCUCCACCAUGCCAGAGCGCCUACCAAGACUGCGUCGUCCACUGCUAGAGAUGGACGUUUCUCAUCCACGGUGACGGACCAAUAGCCUUGCAUCGCGUCCUCUCGCUUCAUCGGCGCCAUCCUCCUCUUUGCCGGGGCCGCUCACACGACCUUCUCCUCCACCGCAACGGGACUUAUCCCCCGAUGCACCUGUCUACCAUCGCAGAUCUGCUUCAACGCCACCGACACCCAUCGCACCCCCGAUGCCUACACGGCGCCGCAAAGAGAGGUGGUACUUCAUAUCUCCUCAACUUUUUGAUCUCAACCAGAAAAUAGAUAUUAACUUGGUUACUCUACUUUCUUUUCAGCUCUUAGAAUUUAGUUCUUAGUUCGAAGCAAACAAUGGAUGCUAAAUAUCAUUUCUCCGGUUUGCAGCUUCAAAUCUGCCAUGGCACAACCAUAAUACGAUUUAAUAGAUCAUGCUUAGGGUUUAAUUGAUCAUGUUGGUUCCGUGGUGGUUUCUUUAAUAGAAAUUAGAGGGGAAACCCUCUUUUGCUAAAAAAUGUAUGCUUAGAGUUUCCCCCUUUUAUGAUCACUAUACGAUCAGAAUACAUGCUUCGUGUCAUAAUAACACUGCUCCACCCAUCAAGCUAAACAAGCUUAGUUGUUCAAAUACGAAUCUGAUAUUAUUAAAACAGAGUUGUUUAAUUGGUCAGCUAAAUGUUCCUAAAUUAGUUUCGAAAAUGCAUGUUCGCCGCUCGGCUGUGUAUCUCUGUGUGUGGUUUGGUCAGCAUGAUUGGGGAGGUGAACUUUGCAUAUGCAGGGGUUUAUAGGGAGACACUCUCCGAGUUGAAACCGCAAUGCAUUCCAUAGAUAAUCUGACUACUUUUUAUGUUUUCAUGAAUCUCAAAUUCUGAACAGCAUCAUAAUGAUUAUGAGCUUGCGCGCAUGAAAAGAAUAAAGCAGAACAAUGCCAUGGCUGUUAAACUUGGCAUUAAGGGACUGAAAUCAAGUCUGGAUGCAAUGCAAUGCAAACACUCUCCACCUACAGAUUCAUGCUCAGAAUAUGAUCCUAAUAGUGAUUCUGAGCUAGAGGGAGACCUAAGUCAAUGUAGCUCCCUAGUGGAGGAUUCAGAGGAAGAUGCCCUAUCUUAUUCACCCAUCAAGGUACUUGCUCUAACUUUCCAAGGUUACAUUGCUCGCACAUAUCUUGCAACUGAUGCUUUGCAUUGCUUCUACUUUGUUGAACUGCCAUUAGCUUAGUUUACACAUCGUGUAUGUGAAUACGCCCUGCCUAUCCAUUUUCAGUACAUAUUCCAUCUGUCAUCAUACCAUAUUUAUCCAUUCAAACGUUGUUCUUGUGUAUCAGACGUUCGAAAGGAAGAGGGCGAUUGCUGAUCGUGGAGGAGCACAAGCAAAGUAUUUGGAAAAAGGUAGUGGCACCUGAUAAAUCAAAUAGCCCAUUAGGUGUAGUUGCAGUAUCACCUGACCCACAAAAUACCCCAACUCUAGCAGACUCUAGCCCUACUACACUGGUCAUUUCUGAUGCCCCAACUCAGUAGACCCCAACUGCAGCAAACAGUAUGAUUAUGCCAGUUGACAUAACACCAACUGUACGACGCAAAACCCCCAUUCCAGCAAAGAGUACACCAAAUCCAGUUGCCAAAUCCCUUUUCGAACCAGAGAGAGCCCUAAUUGCAGCAAAUAGGACCCCUGUUCCAUUUCUUCCCGGUUUAGAAGAGGAAGCUUAUGUUGUUGUCAAGAACUUUGUGCGCAUCUUUCCUUCAUGGAAAGAUUAUACCGCAGACACAGAACAAUUUCCAGUCUUCCUCCGCAACUUACGCGCAAGUAAUGUACUAAUGUUAUUCAUGGUCAUUACUGCAUAUGUUUCUGCUGACAGAAGACACAAGAUUUCAUUAUUUUAAAUAGGCGAGGCGCAAACUGGAUUGUGAUGACGAGCAAGGGUUGGUUGCGCUUUUCAAGCACUCAUUGAUGAAGUAUCGUUCCUACCUGAGGCAAGCGCACUUUGAUGGCAAGCCUCUGAACAAAAUUUCUGUAAAAUCUCUGGUGCUACAUUUAUCCGACGGUGACUGGAAUAAUCUUGUUACACAUUGGUCUCGGCUGCAGCGUAAGGUACUGUCUAUGAUAUCACAUCACAAUUUGAACUACAUUUCUGCAUUUGCCUUAAUGUCUCACUUGUACGAAAACUGUUAGCAGAAGAACAUUCAUUCUCAAGGGACCAUAGAAUCUCGCAACUAUACUGCACACUGCAUUGCUCUUGUGAGUACCUCUUGCCCUGUAUGACCAUACUUACUUCCAUAGUUGUUUGAUUAUGUAGCAUCACUGCACAUGUUAGCCUCGUAAUCGUCCAUUUGGUGGACAUUAUAAGAUCCGUAUGGACUCUUACAUAAAUUUAGAAUCAACCCAAUGCUUUUGAAGAGGUUUAGCUCUGCAGUCCUCUUGUAAGAACUGAACGUGGUCUACCACUGUACUUACAUUAACAGCUACUCCCUCCGUCCUAUAAUAUAAGAACGUUUUGUACAGUACACCAGUGUUCAAAACACUCUUGUAUUAUGGGAAGAGGGAUUGGUUCAUUUUGUAGCAUUCUGCAUCUUAUCUCUCUCGCCCACCAUUUACUAAAAAAGAUCAGAUCUAUAUUUAAUCUUACCAACAAGUAGAAUACACAGACAAUGCCAGUGCAGAAGUGUAGCCCAUUGCUCUUGUCAGUACAUUUUGUCCUGUAACGCUUGUACUUCCAGGGAUUGGUAGUUGAUUAUGUAGCAUUAAUCUGCAUCUUAUCUUCAUUAUCCUCUAUCCCUUCCAGUAUUAUCAUAUCUAUAAUUACUCUCUAUAAAAUGUAGAGUACAGGCAAUGCUUAUGAAGAAGAUUAUGUGCUGAAAUUCUUGAGUUAUCCUUCCCUUGCCAUGGAGAAGGGCAUUAUAAAGCCGGUGUUAACUAUUAAUGUGAGUCAGUCCUUCUAAAGCCUUUGUCCUCAACUGCUAUUUAAUUUGCUCAUACUCCCUAUCGUUUACUGCUGUUUAGUUUGUUGUUUCUACCAAAAUGCAUGUUCGUAAGAACCAUAAGUUCUAAGUUUUACUUGUAAACCAAAUUCCUUAUUCAUACCAUGCACAUUACUUAAUACUCCCUAUAUGUAUGCUUGUUUUUGUGGAUCUAUAAUCCAGUGUGUGGUGAAGCAGCCCAUGUUUGCACCUUGUCAUCUCCUGUUUUAUCUUACUGGCUGAUGAUAUGAACAACAUGCCAUGCACAUUAUCCAAAAUAGAUACAAUGAUUUUCUUUGCCCUUCAUCUAUGCUUGUUAUGUUGACAUGGUAAUCCAGUAGUGUGGUGAAGCUCCCCGCAUUAUGAACAAUGCCAAAUUAUGCUAUUGAUAUUUUGAACAUACUCUUUAUUUUCUAAUUUGAAAUUGGAUAGAAUUGACAGAAUAGUUAUCAUCUUUGUUUAUACACGUGCAAAACCUGUCAUCUCUCUGCUUUGUUUCAGGGUGAUAUGCCUGAUGGCAUGCACAAGUCUGCUGAAGGUUGUGAGACAAACCCAACAUAUAUUAGAGCAAAGAAGGCAAAACAUCUUGAAGAUAGCGAGACAACCCCAAAGUCUUGUCUUGAUGCAGUGUUCAAGUUACUUGAGACUAACAGUCAGACAAGCUCACAGAAUUCGUUGUCUGAAUCAGUUCGACUUCUUCAGUCCCAAGUUCUAGCAGAAAGGCAUUUUGCAACUCAACUUCGACUUGAAGUCCUAUCUCUAAGUAAGAUUGCGUAGAACACCAAUGAGAACCUCAUCGCUAAACAACUACACCUGGAAGCUAUGACCGACAUGCUAGGCCGGUCUCACAGCCUUGCUCAGCAGCUUGCGCAGCAGUUCCCCCGCAAGGCUAACCUUUCUUGAACUGUCUUUGAAGUGGUCUCAGUUCAGUAUUAUUUUGUUACGCUGCAAUGGUGCCCAGUUUUUGUAAUCUACUUCUCUGUUGCGCUUUAUGAUCACUGGUGGCGAACUUUGAUGCCCAGUGGAUGUAAUAUACCUUAAAUCCUUUAUUGUGUAGUGUAGGUUUAUUCUUAGUUACUAUGCCACAAUUUCUUUAUUGUAUAGAGUAGGUUUGUUCUUAAUUCCUACUAGUUACGCAGCAGCCCGAAAUGAACCCCGGCCCAUGAUUGUGCAAAUCAAAUCACGGGCUUUUAACAGGCCAAAAUUUUCUGGGUUCUUGUUUGGCCCAACCAGAUAUCGGCUGCGAGCAGGCCGGAUGCAAACCGGGCCGUAGUUAGGCCCAACUAUAUGACGGGCUUUUAACAGGUCGAAAUGUUAAACGGGCCCUUAACAAACUAAUAUCAGGCCGAAUUACUAAGUGGACCUUUAGCAAGUGGGCCCAAAAGCAUAGUGUCCAGUUGACGGGCCGAAUCUGAUAUGGGCCAUAAUAGAGCCCAAAGCCUCUUAAAGGGCCGAACCUGAUCUGGGCCGUAAUUUGGCCCAGAACGUGGUAGGCUUUUAACGGGUCGGAUCUCAUAUGGGCCACUAUUAGGCCCGGAGCGUGGCAGGCCAUUAAUGGACCGGAUCAAAUAUGGGCCGGCAUUUGGCCCAAAACAUGGCAGCCAGUUAAUGUGCCGGCCUACUAGGGUCCUCAAAAUCUUGUGGGCCUACAGCUGGGCCCGCCCAUUAAUGUCGGCGAAAUCUCGUGGGCCUUUAGCUGGGCUGACCCAUUAUGACCCGCAAGAAUAUUGUGGGCCUUUACCUAGGCCGGCCCAUUAUGGCACAAAAAAAUCUUGUGGGCCUUUACCUGGGCCGACCCAUUAUGGCCCGCAAAAUCUUGUGGGCCUUUAGCUGGGCCAGCCCAUUCUGGUCCGCAAAAUCUCGUGGGCCUUUAGUUAGGCCAGCCCAUUAUGGUCCACAAAAUCUUGUGGGCCUCUAGUUGGGCCGGCCCAUUUAAACUUGUUGGGCCGUGCCACGUAUCGACGUAUCAUAGGCGCCUUCUGUCCAGUGAGUGGAUGACAUCUGUCCCGGCGAUGAGCCGACACGUGUUUCCUCUAGCCAAUGAUGAUUUUACACGUGGAAAAUCCCCAUUGGUCGGGGUUGUUAACGGGUUAUCGGAUCCAAAACCCGACCCGGUAGCUUAACGGCGUUCCGUUACGGUGGAUGCCACGUGUCGGUCACCCUUGAUGAAAGCACUUCUGUGACGCGCGAUUUCUCGUCAUGGAAGUGGACACUUCCGUGAUGAUUAUUUUGGUAAUGUCAUGGAACACUUCUACGACAGCACAGGUAUGACUAUCUUGAUUCUGUCAUAAAUUUGUCAUGGAUGUACAUGCAUGACAAAAAAAGCGACCUACUAUGACAAACACGUAUCAUCACGGAAGUGUAUUUUUUUAUAGUGUACUCUAUUACAAGUGGAGUUCUACUCUUGCUUCUUUUGUAGGAUAAUAUUCCUUAUGCCUUUCCUCUUAAAUCGGCCCAUCAUAACGUGAGCUGGACUUCUAGGCCUUAGGCCUUAUUGUCCAUCUGACCCGCCCGCCGGGUUACAAAUGAUUCGCCAAGAUCGAGCGGGUUACCUAUGAAUCGCUAAGCCUCCAGCCGGGUCAUACAUCCGGCGGGUUACACCGCGGGGUAUAUCCCCGAUAGCACCAAUAGUACGUAAAAACGGUCUACCAAGAAUAAUUGGACAAGACAGAUUGCAAUCAAUAUCAAGAAAAAUAAAAUCUAUGGGCACAUAAUUCCUAUUUGCAAGAAUAAGAACAUCAUUAAUUCUUCCCAUAGGCUUUUUAAUAGUAGAAUCCGCCAAGUGCAAAUUUAGAGAACACUCUUCAAUAUCGGUAAGACCAAGCACAUCACAUAGAUUUCGGAACUGUAGAAACACUAGAACCCAAGUCACAUAAAGAAAAACACUCAUAAUUUUUAAUAUUGACUUUUAUGGUAGGUUCCCAUUCAUCAUGCAAUUUUCUAGGAAUUGAAAUCUCUAGAUCCAACUUUUCUUCAAAAGAUUUCAUCAUAACAUCAACAAUAUGUUUAGUAAAAGCUUUAUUUUGUUCAUAAGCAUGGGGUGAAUUUACUAUGCAUUGCAACAAAGAAAUACAAUCAAUCAAAGAGCAACUAUCAUAAUAAAAGUCUUUGUAAUCCAAAAGAGUGGGCACAUCACUAGUUAAACUUUUGACCUCUUCAAACCCACUUUUAUCAAUUUUCUCAACAAGAUUUUUACCCUCCGAAUUAUCGGGACGCCUUCUAGCUAAAGUUGACUCUUCUUUGGUCCCUUUAUUAUCAAUCUUAAUUUUACUAAACAAAGAAUCAAUAGAAGAAACACCAAUCAUUUUACGAUCUUCAUCACUUUUAUGAAAGCAAUCACUAGAAAAUGCUUUUUCUAAAAAUUCUCAUCUAGCUCUAAGCAUAGCGGUUCUUUUCUUACUUUCAUCCGUAGAAACAUAUAAAGCUUUAUUUGAUUCCUCAACCUUAGGAACAAAAAUAUUCAUCUUGAGAUUUUCUACAUCAUGAGAAAUUCUAUCAAUACUUCUAGACAUAUCAUCAAUCUUAUUCAAAUUUUCUUCUAUUGUAGCAUUCAAAACUUUUUGAGUAUUGAUAAAUUCUUUAAUAUUACUCUCAAAGUCUCAAUAUCAGAGGUGUUCCUAUUAUUAUUAUAAGAAGGAUUACCAUAAUUAUUAGAGGAAUUACUAGGAAAAGGCCUAGGAUUAAAAUUACCUCUAUAAGCAUUGUUAUUGAAAUUGUUUCGAGAGAUAAAAUUCACAUCAAUAGCAUCACUAUUUAACUGAAUCAAAGUAGAUAAAGCCACAUCAUUAAAAUCAAUAGGAGAACUUUUAUUAGCAACCAAUUUCAUAAAAGCAUAAACUUUUUCACUCAAAGAAGAAAUUUCUUCAACCGAAUUAACUUUUUUACUAGUAGGAGCUCUUUCGGUAUGCCAUUGCGAAUAAUUUGCCAUAAUAUUAUCAAGAAAUUUGGUGGAUUCACCCAAAGUAAUUUCCAUAAAAGUACCACCCACGGCGGAAUCCAAAAUAUUACGAGAAAUAAAAUUCAACCCUGCAUAAAAUUUUUGUAUGAUCAUCCAAAGAUUUAACCCAUGAGUUGGGAAAUUCCUUAGCAUCAGUUUCAUCCUUUCCCAAGAUUGUGCAACAUGCUCAUGUUCAAGUUUCUUGAAAUUCAUGAUAUGGGUUCUAAGGGAAAUGAUUUUUGCAGGCGGAAAAUAUUUAGUAAUAAAAGCAUCUUUGCACUUAUCCCAAGAAUCGAUACUAUUGCGAGGUAAAGAAGAAAACCAAAUUUUUGCACGAUCUCGCAAAGAAAAUGCAAAUAAUUUCAAUGUCACAACAUCAUUGUCCACAUCUUUUUUAUUUUGCAUAUCACAUAAUAUGACGAAUGUGUUAAGAUGGGAUGCGGCAUCCUCAUAAGGAGUACCGGAAAAUUGAUCUUUCAUAACAAGAUUCAGCAAAGCGGUAUUAAUAUCACAAGACUCCGCACUAGCGGCGGGAGGAGAAAUCGGAGUGCUAAUAAAAUCAUUGUUGUUGGUAUUGGAGAAAUCACACAACUUGGUGUUUUCUUGAGUAAUUGUGAUUAUGCAACAAGAUUGCACUCAAAAAUAGAUCUGACGAGAAACGGCGAACGAAAAAGAGGGUGAAUAAAACAACAAUUUUUUGUGAAGCGGGGGAGAGGAAAACAAGAGGCAAAUGAAAAAUAAUGUAAAUUGCAAGGAGAUGGGAUUUGUGAUUAGGAACCUGGUAGAUGUUGAUGAUGUCUCCCCGGCAACGGCACCAGAAAUUCCUUUUGAUGCGGCUUGAACUACGUCGGUAUUUCCCCAAAGAGGAAGGGAUGAUGCAGCACAUCUACGGUAGGUAUUUCCCUCAGUGAUGAGACCAAGGUUAUAAAACCAGUAGGAGAACCACGCAACACUACGUGAACGGCACCUAUACACAAAUAACAAAUACUCGCAAUCCGACGUAUUAAAGGGGUUGUCAAUCCCUUUCGGGUAACGGCGCUAGAAAUUGGUAAGUAGACGGGAUAAAAAUUGUGAUAGAUUGAUAAAUGCAAAUAAAA
Molecule: long non-coding RNA, 76456 nt
Filed under: Triticum aestivum (bread wheat)
Lineage: Eukaryota; Viridiplantae; Streptophyta; Magnoliopsida; Poales; Poaceae
Description: long non-coding RNA (TAES_LNC020962)
Rfam family: MIR1120/MIR1122 microRNA precursor family (bases 57715-57849)
Source: RNAcentral